UCGAUGAGGAGUGAGACAUCUUACAUCAGCACUAUCUUUGUUGAAGUUGGCGCGUGGAAACGUCACCAGGUAAUCAAAACGUAACAAUUUAAAUACCGUGGAGUGAGACAUCUAGCUUUCUUACUAUCUCUGCAGAGUGACGCUCAUGGUAGCAAUAGCAGCUACUUGUAAACACAACAUGUUGUUGGAUGGAUGGAGGCCUAUCCUGUCGUAAAAUUAACACAGUCCAGACUCAUCUCAGCUCAGGAGAGUUACCUUCAGCCUGGGGUCAGUGAGAACGUGCGUUUGAGGUGGAGGCACGUGACAGCUCCAAGGUCCACACUCAGAGUCACUGUGAGUUUAACAUUUUUAACUUUAUAAGUCUUUAUCUUUUUCUCUUCCUCUCUUCUCUUUAUCGAAAAUGAUUUCAAUGUCAUAUUGACUUAUCUACCAUCAACAUUUCCUAAAGUUUUGCCUCACUGAGCAGGUAGCCUUUGUUCACUUACUCUAAUGCUAGUAUUAGGAUGAAGCAGGCUUGCUGUUUAACCAUGAAUUAAAUGAAAAAUAAUCAGAAUUUUCCUUGUAAAUGUAUUCAAAUUCAACUUUAUUCGUAUGGCACUUCUCAGACAAAAAGAUGCAGUUCAAAGUGCCUCACAGAGGAUAAAAACAACAAUAAAACCCAACCCUCUCACUCACACAAAUAGACACACACCCACUCUCACUUACCCACACAUGUGCACACAAGCACACACAAAGUGAGAAUUUAAGAUAUAUUGUUAAAGAGACAUGGCCUGACCCCGAGACAUUAUGUGAGGAAAGAGGUACCUUUAGGAAACACUGGAGAUACAAAGAUAAAAAUGGUAAAAAGAGAAAAACCUGAUGGACUAAAACAAGAAAAUAUAUUAAAUGAGCAGAUAGGCAAGAGCUCUUCACCAUGUAAAAAGGGUAAAAGAAGAAAAACCGCUAUGAUGGGAAUUAAGAAAAAGACAAAGAACAGAGAUAAUUCAUAAAUGACAAAAAAGAAACAUCAAGUACUUCAAUUAAAAUGAACAUUUGCAAUAAGAGAAAUAUAAAAAGGCAGUAAGUGAAAAGCCUGGUUAAAAAGGUGAGUCUUGAGCCUCUUUUUAAAAACAUCAACAGUCUCUGUGGCCCUGAGGCUCUGUGGCAGGCUGUUCCACAACUGGAGACCAUAGAAACUGAAAGUUUGAACUUUGGGUAAGGUGAAAAGACAUGUGCUCGAGGACCUCAGGGUCCGCAAGGGUUAAUAUGAGAGAAGUAAGUCAGAUAAAUAGGAGGGGUCAAGACCAUUAAUACAUCUAAAAACUAAUAAAAGAACCUUAAAAUCAAUUUUCCAGUAGACUUAACUAGCCUGACUUAAAACUGUAAGUGAACAGCACAGAUUUAAGGUUAAAAGUGAGGGAUAACGUAAAGAGCUGCCAGAGAAACCUGAAUGCUUUCCUAAAUUCUGUCACGAUUCAAGGAUGAGGUCAAAAAAACAUUGAAAAACUAAAUUAACAGGCCUUAUUUUAAAACCAUCUAUAAUAUAUACAGCAGUAGAAGUAAAGUGUGCCCACAGACAGUUGCUCUCUUUUUGUAUCUGCCAACACAAUCCUGGCAUUGGCACAGGAUUUCUUGAGAAACUAGAAAUGUCAGCUUAAUGCUUUUUUAAUUCCCGUUAGAGACACCGUAUAUAUUCAUUAUGUAUAAACACCAUUUGGCAAAGAAUAACUCCAGCAUUUCUCUGGUGGAUAGCAGAAAAAGUAGGCUUUUCUACCCCCGGCAUGUUCGGGCCCUUUGGGAGGAAACAGAUAGUGGGAACAAAUUAGUAAGAAAACACAGAAAAAGAAAGAAAACGUCGUCUUAAUAUGUCAUCCCUCCAGCCUUACACUGUGACCUAUUUGGACUGCAAACAUAAAGUGGUGGCACUUUUGAAAUAUACAGAGUAUGAAUGAAAUUGUUCCCACUAGUGUUGAAACCGUCCCAACUUUAGUGUGGAAGCUGUGAGGAAGAUUAUUAAUGCAGCAAACAUUAAAAAAAAAAACUCAUUUUCAUCUUAAAAAUGAUGCAAAUGCUGUGGUUUUGAGGACUGCUCGGGGAGCUGUUUCACCUCUGGUCUUUGCAUCAUUGCAGUCAGCAGCAGGUGUUAUGGUUGAGCUUAGCAGGGGGGGACUUUCUGCACACUGCGAAACCGUGUUGCAAGGCUUAGUUUAAUAAAUGCAAUAAAGCAGACUCCCUGACUCAUUUAGAGAGGAUAUUGGUUUAUCGGCGUAACUUAUUCCCUCUGCAAAACAUUUGAUCUUCUUAAAAGUUAACAAAGCGAACAUGAUCUCAUCCAACUGGGCUGUUAUUGAUAGAUUAAACAUGACGCAGUGUUUCCAGAUCAAAAUAUUUACCGUAAAAUCUGCUAAAUAAAUCUGAGAGUCUAUUUUUUCUGAGUAUUUUGUUGUAUUUUGCUGCAGCUUCACUGUGAGGGAAGCUGUAACAUCAUAUUUUGCAGGACAUGAGCUGAGCACAGUAAACUUCACAUACGUUCAGAGACACCUCUUCUCUCCUUCUCGCUGUUUACACCGACGGCUCAAAACGAGCCAAACAGACCCUCAGGCCGCCGUGUCCCGCUGCUCCCUGAUGUACAGUCCACGCCUGAUUAUGCGUCCUUAUCCUGCGAAUGUCUCGAUCAGGAGUCGUGUCUUGAGGGUUUUUGAUUAUGCGUGCUUUGAGAGAACAGAUGGUUCAUCACAGGAGCCUCUGAGAUGAUCAUGCAGAUCUUCAGUCUGUCUUUCAGGUGAGAAGAGACUGCAGUGUUGUAGCUGUAUGGGAACAAAAAACCUCGUGAUCAAACAAUCUCUUAUAUCACAUUAUCACAGACACAAGCUCUUGUCUUCCGUUCUCUGCUCUUUGUCAUCAUCUGUUCAUGUUUUUUGGACUAAUUAAAGUAAAUAGGCUCGAUGCAAAUUUUGGAACAGAUGUACGUUAAUUCUGACUUUAAAACUAGUAAUUGAGACCACUCUUCUUUAAAGUUCUGUUGAUGUGUUAUUGCACUUAAACUCUGAAUAGGCUGAAUCUACUAUUACCAAAGUCAUCCUGAGACUGGGACCUUUCAUACGAAAGAAUCUCGCCAAAAGUUUCUGCAGAUCUUCAAAAGUUUUCCAAUAUUACAAGAGUACUGUCAUGUAGAGCUGGGUGAUAUGGCCUCAAAUCAAUAUCACGAUGUAUUAAGCAGUUCACCUCGAUAACUAUAAAUGGACAAUAACUACUCCACAAGCUGCUCAACCCCUCGCACAUUAACUUCGUCUAAAGGUCCUUUCACACCGGGACCGUUUUUUUCGUGCGAUCAUUUCAGACCUUAUUUUUUUCGAACCCGUAUCCUGUCAAUACAAGCGCUCACAUCAGCGACGUUUUCCCGUCCUGCGAUAUUGUGGCAUUUAUUUUUUCGUAUCAAGGUUGAAUUUUCUAAAGUUUCGCAUACUGUGUUUUCAAUUCAGACCAAUCAGAUUGCGUGUUGUUGCGACGUCAGAUUCACCGGUAUAUUCAACAUGGCCGACCAGCUUAUUGUUUACGUGUCGGAGAACAGAGUGCUUUAUGAUGAAAAACACAAACAUUACAAAGAUAACGACAACUUAUGGAGAGUCAUAGCGUCGGAUUUCUCAUAUGACGAUGGUUUGUGUGCUUUAACAGUUUGCUAAACGUCUUUGUUUUAACUUUCAUCUGUGCUAAGUAACUUUAGCUCGUAAGCUAACGUGUUCAGAUAUCAACAUAUCAAAUAACCACCUUAAAAGCCCGGUCUCCCCGGGUUUUAAAACGGGUCUUCGGCACCAUUAGGGUGUUCUGGCCUGACGACCGAAGGGUGCGCCCUGGGGAGUAGGGGCACAAAAAAUCAGUGAUAUAUUGGGUGGCCUGACCAUGCAGCGCCCGGAAAGUCAGAACUAAAAUUUUGAAAUGAAUACAGAAAUUGACCGGUAGCCAAUAAAGACAUGGGUGAUGUGAGCAGAUUUGGGCGUGAGCAACUUUGACUUGGACUGAACUUUAAAAUCCAAAAUGAUCUCAUCAUUCCUGACAGAGUUCUCUCGGCUGAUUUGGCUGCACAAAACAACAGACUAAAUUUGCUUCAACAUGGUGACCAAGAAACAACCUCCACUUCCACUCAAGACACGUACAGCAUUUUUUAUGGUUCAAAUUUAACAUACCGUCUUUUAGCUCUCUUCUGCUGUGAAUCAAAACUGAAUGGAAUGACAGAGCUGAGCUGUGUUUCAUCACAUUGAUGGAAAACGGGUGAGAUGCUUGACCUCUACGGCGUUCAUUUUAUUCCGCUCAAUCAUAAAAAUAAUCGUCCACCAGCUCACCAUGGUUUGCAACACUCGUCUGUGCUUUUCUCUCCAGUUAAAGAUUCUGAAAGAAGUGAUUUUCAGAAAAAGACAUCAAUAAUCUUCUCUUCACUUCAAGUGUAAAGCAUUUUAUCAUCCUGUAAACAUGAAUCAGGGAUGUAUGAUGAGUGCAUUAGCUGCCAUUAUUGUCCUUAUUUAUCAGUGAAUUUUCAGUUUUUGCUGCCAGUGUCUUGUUAAAGCACAUGAAACUGUUUCAUUUGCAGACCCUGCCAUGAUAAUGAAAUGUAAUAGAUGGGUCGGCUAACUCGGAGACGGUGGGACUGAUUGAUCGAUUUCGAGCUGCUUUACUCAGACUGUGAGGGAUGGCCUGGAUGAUAAAAUGAAAGUUGAGUAAUGAUAACAAAUAAAGAGACAAGAUGUUGAACAAAGUCAAACUAUAAAACUGAAAUCUGUGUUUUGGGAAUAAUAAAUUGAGACUUUAUGCAACUAGAGCUCAUAAAUCAAAAAGACUUAAUGUUUGAAAUGAUGAAAGUUUCAGCAAUGAAACAGUUGUUGUCGGAUAAGUACAAGGAUGUGCAGGUUUUUACACGCAAACCGGAGAAAAGAGAGAUAUUUUAAGAGGACGCAGAGACGGUUGGCGGAAAAACUUGUGUCAACCUUUUGUUAGGAGCCAAAUCAGCUCGAUUAAGCAGUCACAGUCCUUUUAUUUCAGCUGUGAGUGAGAAUUUGUUCAAACUAUUAAGAAAGGUUAAGUCUUGUAGUAACUUCAUCUUUGGCUCACCACAAAAAGCCAGCUCUCUUUUUCUCUGAUUUACAUUUACACAUGCCCGGCUAUUUUCAUAAACAGACAUUUCGCCCUCUCUGUUUCAAAAAAAAAAACCUGCAUGAACACCAGCACAUUUUCAGAAAUGUUUUCGUUUACACUAACCCGUGUAUAUAUGCGGUCAAGAACAUAUCAAACAUGUGGGUGGCAGUGAAGCGAGAAGCUCAAGCCCAUGUUAGCCAAUCAGAAACCCACAUAGCAGCAACAUUAACCUCUUUAAUCCAAAAUUUUUCCCUGCAAAAUAAGUGCACGCAUUUCAUCCCGUAGACCUCCUUAAGACAUAAUAUAUAUGAUUUUUGUCAUUUCAUGUUGGUUUUGUCAGUGAAAAAUGAGGUUAUAUACUCAGCAACAAUUGUUGCCAGUGGGAAACGGCAUAGUCGAAAUCUACACAAUUUCUUUAAUUUGACCUAUUUACACCAUAGACCAUGUAUAGAAUGGACAGUGUCUGCCUCCUCGCUGGAUGAAGCCACUCCAAGAACAGCACCCCCUGGUGACGGGCUGCAGUAUAUAAUAAGCAGUAAACAUAAACUGUCCAGUAGGGUUGCAAAGGGCGGAAAAUUUCUGGUAAAUUUCCAGAAACUUUCCAUGGGAAGUUAACAACGUCCCUCCUUUCUUUCCUGCGCACAAUCUGCUUUCGGCACAUCCAAUGCAUGUGCAUCUUAUUUUGUAUAUUUAGGUUUAUUUUAUCAACACUCACUCUCAUCUUAGUUUUAAAGUUGCUGGGUGUAAAAUCUGAAAAUUCAACUAUAGUCCUGAAUACUUGGCUUCAAAGAAAAACAUGCAAAUUAAUAAAAUUAUAUUCCAUUCAGUUCGGUUUACUGUGUUUAACUUGUUGAGUCCUGAGUGCAGACUCUGUUGAAAAUAGACUCGGUGCGUCUUAAGUGGAGUGAGGAGAAGAGAAGGUCCCCUCCAUAAUUCUGUCAAUGCUUCAGCCGUGUUCGUAAAAUAUGAAGGAAUUUAAGAUUUAAUGGUGAAAAUAUUUCAACAUUACUCCUGUUUGAGAGAUUUCCUAUUAAAGAUCAGGGGUAUUACCGUUCCUCCACCUGAAGUAGUGACUCGAGUGUUUUUGUUUUUGGUUCCAGAGACCACCAUCAUGUUUAUUCAUGCCUCCUUCGGUGAGACUAUUGUCUGCAGGUCGCCCCUCUGUCUGGUAAAUACGUGACGCCUCCAAAAUCAUCCACGCAGGCACAGGUCUUGAUUCACCACCCUCAUUAAUAGUCGAAAGCAGUGGCACCAUCUAAUUAUGAAGCUCAUCCAUCAACAGUAACAAGGGCUGUCAUCGAUAUUUAGUUGGGCAUAAAAGCCGGCACGCUCUGCUUUAUAUGCUGAGCGAGACGCCACAAAGAAUUUGCAAGUUCCCAAUCUUGACACUAAUAGCUUUCCAUAAUUUAAUGAAUGAUGUAUUAAACCGAGGAACGUGAAGAACCGCGAGGAACGAGCCGGGAGAUACAAACAAAAGUCACUGCCUGUAAUUUACUUGAGAAACUCUUGACCUAAGAGGAGGUAGGAGGGAGGGAAGGAGGCGGCGCGGCGUCACCUCUCCGCCCUUCGCCGGGGUGAGCGGGGACUCGGGUGUUAACGUGUUUUUUUCUGUGGCGUGCUGUCAUUGAGAUUCAAAGGCUGGCUCUGUCUCCUGCUAAUUAACACCUCUUAAUUAUAAUGAGUUGACUGAUCAGCCAUGCAUAUGAGUGGAAAGAGAAGGGACCUCGGAUAACAGUUGAUGCUAUCAGUCAUUGCUUUUGAACCGUAAAGCACAACAGUUACACAGCUGGAUCUAUAAUGAGCAUUGUGACCGAGUACGUGGACCUUUUUCCUCUGCGUAUCCUCUCAUAAUGACCCAUAAAAUAAAGAUUCACUGUUUUUAGACCGGAAGAAGGAUGAGUCAUGCUGAGUUGUGUGAUUGAUCCCCACAAUAAGACUCAUAACUUUAUUUAAAGCAGCUCCUCCUCCUGCUGUUUCAGCCACAUGUUCCUUUGAGUUUUGUUAUUACCAGAAAUAAAGAUUUGUGUUUGCUUCUUUGCUCUCUCGGGUGGCGAGAAAUUAUGCACCGCCAACACGCGUGCAUUGAUAUUCCUCCUUGCAGGGCUGCAAUUCUUUCCUCUAAUGAAGCCAUUAUUUUGCCGGUAUUAAAUUUGGUGGUGUGAGGUUAAUGGCUUCAUUAGGCAACAAAUCGCCAUCCGGGGCCUGUGUAAUGUACUUUGCCUGUCCUGUCUUGGCUAUAUUUCAUUGUUUGCCAUCUACGAAAGUAUUAAAUUAGAGGGAAACAGAUUAGCCAGGGCUAACAACAUGGAAUGCUUUUAUUGCAGAAUGCAAUUCAGUGCAGCAAUUUAUAAUAACAAGUGGCUCCAUGCUGAUGAUUUAGCACCCUUUGGGCAGGGGCCAGCACUGAUCUGUGUCUGAUGUUUUGGAGACAGAGACGUGGAGAAACAGAACAAAGAGGAAGAAGGAGAGGAUGACUCUUUGUCCUCGAGGGGAUCAUGACAGGAGUCAGAAUGUGUCUCUGAGGAGAUCCAGAAGUGUAAUAAACAAACACAGAGCAGAACAGGCUGAAAAUUUGUUAGGAUACCCGUAAGGAUGCCUAGCCCAUGUUCACACUUGAAAGAAUGGAAGGUCCACACAAAUGAUCAUUUUGACAAGCUUUACUGGUUGCAGAUCUGGGUUACAGCUUCAUCGUGCCACAAGUGUAACAAAGGCUGGUCUGAGACUGUUCAAGUAUGUUUAGUUGUCCACAUUUCCAAACAUUCUGCUUGUAUUUUGUUGACCUGAAGGAGAGUCCAUGUAGGGUAAUAACAAAGCACAACAUAUUUUUGGAGCCUGAGUGAUGUUGAACAUGGGUACAAGGUCCUUGUUGAGGAUGGUUGUUGGAGGCCCAUGGCUCCAGAAAUCCAGCACUGAAGUAUUCAAGGUAUUUGAGUGACACAGCUCCACUACCUUAAAGGCUGACAUGAAUUGCUAAAGAAAAUCACCUCAACAAUACCACUGAAAGAUGAGCAGAUGUCUUUUGUAGUGUUAUGUCGUUCAUGAACGAUUCGUUCAAAAGAAAAGAAAAGAACUGCUGUGUGAACGACGUGAAUGGAAUCACUCAAAGUCCUGAUUCAUUCCUUUCUCAGAGCGUGGCGUGCUGGUCUCGAGUGGAACUGCUGCUUUUGACUUUUUGGCAAACGACACACAGCUAGCCAGGACGGGCGGAGUCUUGUGAUUUGCUCACACCUCCGAACGACUUGAGGCAGGCAGAGGAGGGACGGGCAUUCACAAACUGCCGAGCACCGGUUCAUUCACUUUGAGCCACUCCGCGAUAUAAAAGCAUGACUACUCGCACUUAUUUAGUGGGCGUGCUGCUUGCUGCUGUGUUGUUUCACUCGCGUCGCAAUGCGAACGUUGGCGGCACAGGGGAGUGAUUCUUCCUUCACGACUUGGCGAAUGAACGACAUGUGUCACUCAGUGAAUGACGCUGUGUCUUCAGCAGCAGGGGAGGGGAGGGGCUCGUUCAAUGAAGGAACACCCGAUCAGCGCCACUGUGUCACUCACUUGUGUACUGCACCCAGCAGGACGGGACUCUGAAGCACUGACUGAUUCGGUGAACAAAUCUUUUGAACGAAUCAUUUUAAUGAACUGAUUCCAAAGAUUCAGUAGAGUCAAAAGAACUGUUCUCCCCAUCACUCGUCUUUUGCCAACAAGAGGAUGGCUGCUGUGGGAAUAUGUUCUACAUCUCUACUUGAACUUUUGUUUGUCAUACUUCAUGGUUAUGUUAAGGUCGCCAUCUCUGUCCUGGGAUGCUCCCUGGCUCCUCUGAAGGUGGUAGGGAGAAAGGGGAAUGAUGGCUGAGCUAUUAUACCUGAUGGAGAACGUGUCCCUCACUCAUGCAGAGCGCUGAGCAGCCCCCCAGUGUGAGCUGCUUCACCAGCAGUGUGUGAAAGACAGAUACUGCAGUCCCCUGUUUCCUGCUGCUGUCAGACUUUACAAUGAACUCCGGUCCCUGCAGUGGCAUCUUUCUACUGCUCUGCCUAAACUCAGGACACUGAAUAUUCUCCACUUUAGGGAUUAAUAAAGAGUGAUCUUAUCAUGUGAAAAAAGGCACAAAAUUAAUGUGAAAGUUUAUCUAAAUCUCAUUAAUGUGUCGCAGCUUUAUCAUGAGCCAUAAUGACUGUCUACAGAGAGAUAAGAGUGUGUACUGAUGUCGUGUUUACAACUUUGUAAAGUGGUUUAAAAAAAAGAAAAUGCUGCUUUUACGAAGUUUAUCAAAGUGCUGCAUUGAUAACCAAGUUAUCAAUACCAAAAAAAGUUUAUAAUGAGAUGUAGGGGUGUCCCGAUACAACUUUUUACCAAUAUUGAUCUAAUAUUGGCACAAACUUGCAAAGUUUGGACUUCUAAGUCUUUUUCAGACUUAAACGAAAAAUACUGCCACACAGCCGACAUCACACCGACUCCUUGCUACUUUGUUUGUACCUUAGUACACACUGUUGUGAUCCUGAGGGCUCUGCAUGCUAGAUCCAGGCACUGCUAGCUAGAGGUGCCAGAGUGGAGUCUGGAGUGGACUGUUUGUAUCGGAGUGCUGAUAUCUGAGAUUUUAGAUGCAGGCCGAUAUAAUCCGAUAUUUGUUUUUUGGCUGAUAUCGAUAGCCGAUAUCAAUAUCGUAUAAGGACAGCCCUAGUUAGAUGUUCAUAAAUGGUUCCUUCAUUGCAUGGUACAGUUUUGAUCUGCAACUGUGUACGCAGCGACAAUCUGUGUUUGGAGACGAUGUUUUCUGGGUGUUGCAUUGUUCUAAUGCGGUGAUUUCCACUACAGAGUCAUGUCUGUUUUUAAUGAACUGCUGCCCAUGGGUUUGAAGAUUAGGCCAUCCAGUUUUAGCUAUCAACUUUGCCCCUUUGUCUGAAAAUCUUGACAUAUUAGUAAUAAUACAGAUUUUAUUUAAAUCACACUUUAUGUUUGAAAUGAACCUCAAAGAACUAAAAGCACAAAAACAAGAUGAAAACACAACAAGAGAGGAUUUCAACAUUUAUAAGAAGAUGUUUCGAUCAAAGUGUUCGGGCACUUCCCAUCAGACAGAGACUUUUGAAAGAGAAAUCUUCUGAACAGUUUUUGAAGGAUCUAGAUAUCUGUCACGCCCCCUAAGGGUUUGGGAGCAGUAUCCCUCAGACCUCGCGCAGUGGAGCUAAAGGUCUGGUCCCCUACUGUGCAGAACCUCGUCUUGGGGUGUGCAGUUGCUGGAUCAGAGGUUUCUUUGGGUGGUUUGAGGGGUUUACGGCUCUUUGAGUUAGAUAGAGGCGUUGUUGUCGUCAUGCUUGUUCUGUCAAGGGAGAUAGGAGAUCGUUGGUGCAGCAGCGUAAUUCAGACCAUUCCAGUGUUUUGUUGUUCCUGUACCAACUCUUUUUAAACCUGUUGCUGACAUUAAAGUCAGAGUGUAUAUUUCAUACAUAUAUAUUUCAUAAGAGGAGUCUUUGAAGGACUUAAUGGGUCAAAUCUUUGAAGCUGCAGACAGUGUAAAUACUAAUAAAGUCUUUUUUCGUUUAAAAUUAAUACCCCGUGUCUUCGCCUCAACACCAUAAAGAGCAAUGCCUCACAUUAGAGCACUGAGCUAUCAUUUCAAGUGUUUAAAAAAACAGUUACAUAGCGGUUUUUGAGGCGUGUACACGAGCCUGUGAUAUGUCUCUCUUUUAAAUAAGAGCUGUGGUGCAUUCAAAAUACAGGGUUUAGCAGUCGAUGCCUCACAGCAGACUCUGUGUGCAGCCGUAAUGUUUAAUUCAUGCCCGUGUGUGUUUGACUGAUCCCAUUCCAGGUGAGCCUGUGACAAUCGGCUCCACUGAAAUAGAGUUGGAGGGGUUUCUGUGGCAAUAAAAAUGAUAAUUAAAUGACAGACAAGGGGCCACAUUGAGCAAAUAACUAUGGAGCUGCUGGGGUGAGUCGAGUGCCAAACGCUGACAGCGGAGUCGAGCUUUCUUGAAGUUCUUGUGAUGUUAUGGGAAAUUAAACCGGGCUAUAAAAUCAAGGAAUCAGAGAAAAAUAAAUCCUUGUUAAAACACCUUGUGUGUGAAGCUGGUUGUGCCGUGCAACAAACAAGGCGGCCCUCAGAAUUACCGGCAGUAUUUUUCUGUCAUAAUAAACCCGUAUCUGCUCGAAUCUAGUGAUCAAAUCUUUACAGUGAUAUUAAAACGUCACUGUCAGUAAAUACUGAGUCAGGAGGAGGACGCAUAAAAUAUGCUCUGUUUAUUGUGAGGUUUAUCUCCUGGACCACAUAGUAAAAUGUUUAGUGUGUAGAAAUGGAUAAAUUUAGCGAUAUCAAGCAGUCAGAUUCCAGAUUAAAAACUCUCACUGGCUCAGCUCUCCCGUCGGUGAGGUGACGGUGGCUUUUGAGGACAAGAAACUCCUGUGGCUCAGUGUGAUUAAAACAUACAGGAAUCUAUUUGAGACACAUACAGAUUUGACUCUUUCAGUCUUAUUUUCUGCUUUUGAAUCAGAUCAGACUGAUCAAGUCGAGACACAAGAGGAGGAGGAAGGACAGAUGGAGCAACACAGACUUUAAAAAUCAAUGCAGCUGAUUGACUUGAAAGAAAACAAUACUUUCUGUUGAUGUCAAAAAUUACCUUCAAUCUGUGUCUGAUUGAGCCAAAACAGACCAUCUUCCUCUUAAUUUUGUUUUCGCAUCACGACGAUAGACACGCACUGCAGGUGUGGAAGUUUGAAGGAAACACUGUUUGAUCCCGCAGGUUGUGCAGUCAGUGUGUGUGUGAUAAUACUGCCUUAAAAUCUUUUACAGGUACCUGUGAUGGCGGUAGUGUUGCGAAUUAUGUGCAUGUUUACAUUCUGCAGUCAUGUGACGUACAGAUGGAAUCAACCUGCACAAAUUAAAGUUACAGUAUGAAGCUGUUUCCAAGUUUCUAAAGCUGCAGAUUCUCCCCCAUGUUUGAUAGGUAAAACCAUAGACUGCCUCCUGGCUGAGUGAAGCCACCGCCAGAACAGCACCCUCUGGUGACAGGCUGCAGUAUAGGUCAUAAAUCCCGCCUCCUCCAGCAAUUCCUAUGAAGUUGUGGACAAACUUUAGAAACUUAUUACACAGAAUAUACAUUUUUCUCCCUCCUGGUUACGAUGUUGACAUGUAGUUUCUGUCAGACUGGUUUGUGCUCAAGUCCUCUUUUUUCUUUACAGCUCCAUUUUUAAAAGUUAUUAGGGUGUUCAUGUUUUCUAUGAUUGACACUACAGCUUAUGGGUGUACGAAGAUUGUGUAGCUCACCCGGGGGAUACUCAGUUUGAGCCGAGCAUCAUCACAGCGACUCGCCCUCCAAAUGCGUAUAUUGUUACUGCGCAAGUGGAGAAAUGGAGAAAAUCUUGGAAAUACUGACAGCAAUUCGGCUUCAAAUUUAUUAGGGCUGCAGCUAUCGAUUAUUUUAGUAAUCGAGUACUCUAUCGAUUAAUCUGUCGAUUAAUCGAGUAAUCGGAUAAGAAAUGUUUUGCUCUCACUGUAAUACUUUGCAUUGAAUCACGUUUGCCUCAUUAAAAACCAUCAGUAACACACAAAACUGAAAUAGGCCAGGUCUUUCAAAUGAAUAUUUUUACUGCAUAAAUCAGGAACCAAAAGUUUUACAUUUUACCAUGUAGUUCACAUGAAACUACUGAAGGCAAGGUCUGCAGAUGGUCUUUUAAUUGCUAUGGUAAUGAUCUUUGCAGUUUUCACUAAACCAGUCACAACUAUUUCCAGGCUUUGGAUCUAAUUUUACUUGUUUAAUUAAUAGGCUGAAAUAAUAUAAUUCUUGGAUACUAACAUAAUUUGACAAGCAAAUGUACAUUUAUUCAAUAUAUAAAAGUGUUACAUUUUUAUUUACAUGUUGUUGUGUGUUGGUCAUUUUGCAGCCCUCUGCUGCUCAUCACACGCCUAGCAGGUGGUGUAUAGCAUUAUCACCAUGGAUACACGGAUGUUUGUGUGAUUUUUUUCAUCCACUGCCGCCCGGUUUGUGUCGUGUAGAUGUUGAUUAUGAAAACACUUCGCAAUAAUUUGGAAACGUGAAGGGGGAGCUGCUGCUGCCCGGUGUUUACGGUAAAUAGACGCAAACACCGACCAAGUGGACGCUUCGGUCUCCGAAAACGCCGAGACAAAUUUACAAACAGCCACUAUUUCAAACAACUGGGCUCAUAAUCGUGAUGUAAACACUUACUUUCUCGCUAGAAAAAAUAUUAUUGAAUGAAUUUAUAUAAUUUGUCCGGUAUGCAGUCGUUCUAUGUAGCUUGUGGUAGGACUAUUUAAAUUUUCCCGGCGCUGCGUCCGGCCGGCACGAAAUGCAUUCUGGGGUAUUUAGUAUGUAUGUGUGUAAACGCUCGGGCAGCCGCGGCAUACUCAAAUCAUCUUUGAGUAGUCAGUAGGCAGUAGCUACUGCUUGAGUAGGUAAGUAGAUAGUAGGCAGUAUGCCAUUUCGGACACAGCUUCUGUCUGUCCUCGUUUCCCUCCAUGAUUGAACCAAACGCGCGGCAGCGGAAGGAGCGGAAAGAGCACGCUUCUGCGCAACAGAAAUAACCGUCCGUGUCAAACACCGUGCGCUGCACAUGGUUCCGGAUUUAAACGAUUCCUCGAGGCAUAUAAUUUGCCUCGAGGAAUUUUAUUAAUCGAGUUACUCGAGUUACUCGAGUAAUCGUUUCAGCCCUAAAAUUUAUACUAUGGACAACUUAGUAUAUACAGUUUAUGAAACAGGAUUUUUAUUAUUUUUUUUUUUUUUGGCUUUUCAACUAAAUUUCUGUCCAUGAUUAAACAGUAGAAAUUGAAUAUCUAGGUAUCAUAGAUUAUUAAGGGUUGAGGGUGAACUGGUUCAUCUUGGUCUGUGUGAACUGUCCAACCAACGCUAUCCGGUCAGAUGACUAUAAUGUUUACAAUAUAUUGUUUCGAACAGUAUUGGUGGCCACCCACUAAAUACAAAAACUGUACUUGUGUGUUUGUUACUGGUUCGAGCAAAGGUAGAAAAUAAUGAUGCAAGUCCCUCCAUGGAAGAGGACCUGCUCCUUAGUGUCUUUUAUAGUCAGAUAAUUAGUAAUGAAUAAUAUAUUCCAAGUCUGUUAUGCUAAAUGGUGCAAAGUGCAAAAUACUGUGUCUUUUAGGAGAUAAAAAGAAAUAUUUGAAGCUUUUUACUGCGUAGAGUAAGAUCUUAUCCACUUCCCAUUUUCCCAUAGCUGAAAAAAAAAACCUUUGUGUGUAAAAUAUUAUCUUUUAAAAGUUGAAUUAUUCACAAGAAAUGAGGCUAAUGUUAUCAGAACCCCCCUAAAAUCCUUUGCUUUUUUAAGAGCAUUCAUAAAACAGGAUAUUUCAUAUGUCAUUUCUUAAACGUGGUCUUUAUUUGUCUCUGAUAGUGCUGCUAUAUUUUUCUUAAUGCGUUCUCUAUAAAUAGAGCCGUGGUUGGGAAAUUACCACCACUGCUGAGGGGGGAAUAAAAGUUUAAGACCGGGAUAAUCUUUCUUUUUUCCCGCUUUAAUAAAUAUCUGCUGUGCUAAUAUUUCAAUUUAUAAUCACUGUGAUACAGUAGCCAAAGAAACAUGUAUUUUUUCAGAGACUAGAUCCAAAACAGUGACAGAUGUGGAACUAAUAUUGAAUUUCCCUCCAAGCACCCAAGCUUUAUGAUUACACAGAACAGCAGGAAAAACACAGAGGCCUACAAAAACCAGCUUUAGUCACACAUAAACCUCUUUUGGGUGAUGUUCCACCUAAAACAAGAUUAAGAGUCUGUUGUAUUUGAUGGAUAAUUUCAUUACAAGUGAUUAGAGAUUUGAGACAUCCAAACCAGCGGUGGUCGAAAUGAGUCUCAGCGUCGAUACAGGAUGCUAAAGCGACUCAAAACCAAGAGUUUGGUUUGUGGUUGUUACAUGAGUUAGAUUGAAACUAAAGUUGAAUAAAUCUCAAUCAUGAGGGAUCAAAAACCAAACAAAAGAGCACUGAUCCAAGAAAAGAAACAUCAUGUAAAAUAGGAGACGGACAGACGUUUGAUGUUUUUGAAGGAAAUUAGAAGUGAAGUCUUCAGCAAACACUUCAGUCAAAAACCAAAACAUGACUGAGCCUAUCCCGCCAUCUGCCACGUCUUAUUCCCAAAAACGCUCCAUCAUUUUAUUCCGUGUUUGGGAAGAGAAGACAUAUAUGCGUCUCUGCUUUUACAGAGAGGCAACACAGAGACGUUUGUCAGCAUCAACAGGUUUUAAACGGCUUUUAUAACUCUCCUUUUUCAUCUCUCAAACACUCCGAGGGCUUUACGCUAUUCACCUCAUGAGAGCACAUUUUUGAAGCAAUACGUUUACUUAUUGUCCAAGGACACAUCUUCAUGCCAUCCGAAGGAGCUGGAUAUUGAACUGCACAGCCUCUAAUAAUAAAUAAUAACUCCCCCUACCUUUUGAGCUGCUCCUGCUUGUACAAUAUCACCAUGUUUGUGACUCUAAAGCUCCUUUCUGCUUAAAACUGUAGCAAACUGAGAUGCACAAAUACCUGAAUUCAUGAUUUAUUAGUGUACUCGGCAAUCUGUGAAUUGUGUAGCAACAUAUGGGCUUUCUGAUAGCAAAGUUAAGGGCUGAAAAUGUUCAAAAUACUGUAAGCACUCGCAUGGAUGUCGGUGUUUGUGUCUGACUUUCUCAAAAUCAGCCAGACCGUUAGAUACAUUUGUAAAUCAUCUGCUGCAGUGGAAACCCUCAAAUCUGUUCUGGUUUUCUGGAUGGUUUUUCAAUAAAGGGUUUAAGUGGAUCAGGCGCCCCCUGUUGGUUCUGCACUGACUAUCAACAGUCUUGAUACAACCCCACUUUAAAACUUUACCUGGUUACCACUGGUAACAGACUGAAAUUAACAUGAAUGCAUUUUCAAGCAAACUUACGACAGGAGCAUGAGGGCCACAUUGAGAUAAAAUUUUAGACCUCAGAAUUACUUACGAGAAUAAAGUCGUUAAGUAAACAAAGUCUUAAAGCUGCUUUUGUGGAGGAGGAAAUAGCUAAACUGGUCAACUGCAGAGUUAUCAGUGGGUGCAGCAGUGGGCCAUUUGGAGGGUUUUUGUUGUUUCUCAAGAAACAAUCCAACUGAUGAUCAAUAUUUGUGAUUCAGAGGGAGUCGAGCUCUGACAAACACCAUUGUGAUGCCGGCACAACCUACACCUGCAGAGGCACCAACACCUUAUGGCAUAUAGAUUCAUACGAUCAACUAAAGCAAUAUUAUAUUGCUAAAAACGGCUGCAUUGAGGGAUUUAGCCUCUGCACGGCCAUUUCCAGCCAUUUCACCCUCCCCAAAAACAGCGAUUCCCUACAAGUCCGCUUUUUUUUCUGUGGAAAAGAUGAAUUUCUUGCAUAUGUCCUGAUACUUAUGACAAUGUGAAACUGAAACGCCAAAGGAUUUAGUAUCUCCUUGUUUGUGAAACCUAGCUACUGAAGUUCAAUUCAUCUAAAUGCUCCACAGCGCUCAUUUAAACAACUUAACAAGUUAGAAUAGCUGUUAGCUACAACUGUAUUCUCAUAAGUAAUUACUUAAAUCCUACUUCAUUCUCGUAAGUAAUUCAGAGGUCUAAAAUUUUGUCAUUUCUUAAUGUGGCCCUAAUGCUCUGUCGUACAAACUAACCCACGUAUAAAAAAAUUAAUUUUGUUACUUUUAAAUGUCUGAAAAUAAUCGAUAGCAUCCCUUUUUAUCCUUCUGCCAUAGCAAAUAUUUAUAAUAGUGUAUCAUGUAACAGUUUAGGGUGAACCCUGACUUAUACAUGUACACAACAAGAGUUAUGAAGACAAGUGGUGCCAAAAUAAGAGAGUCCUAUACAGGAGUUUUGGAUUUUCUUUCCUUGAACACUCAAAUGUUUCUUAUAAAUUUUCAUUUUUGUUAUCUUCAUUUUGCUAGAAAACAGUGUAAACCUUUAACAUUAUAAAUUUCUGAUGGAUCCUGUUAACAAAGCGCAGACUUCAGCCAUAGAUGUAUUAGGAGAAUUAGAUUUUGAGUUCCGAAAACCUGCCAAAUAUAAUCCAAUAUUAGUCGCUUAACCUCGCACACACAUGCACAGAUUUGUUCUUUUGCUAAUUUCUUUUAAUGAAUGAACAAAAAGAUAGAUUUUUAGGUCACUGUGCACCAUGUGAAAAGGUUCAAGGAUCACUAACCCCUGCUCGUUCAGAAAAAUAAUCUCCAUUUACUCCGUUUUUGAGCUAAAAUGUAAACUCUCAGCGUCUCCAUAAAUGUUGUGAGAAUCAGAUUCUUAGAGUAAUGUCACACUCUGCUGUCCUCUCAGCCAGAGAUGGUAGAGUUUAGUCUUAUGAUUCUUGUCCUGGCUCACAAUAAUAAUCUCCUCUGAGGCCGUGAUUCGACUCGAGACCAGACAUAACAGGGAAAAAGCCCAAAUCGAUGGCUAAUGAAUACCAAUCAAUCACCGGAGGGGAAGGUGGGAAAAUGUGGCAACCGAGAGCGCUCUCCGGGUCUCUGGCAUCUAUUUGAUGAAUGCUUUGUCUCACAGUGCAUGCUGACCGGGACUCCCAUAAUGCAUUGCAGAACACUGUCUGGAGACUUAAUUUUCUUCCAGCUCAAUCCCCCAAACCCUCUCCAUCCUCACGUAGCAUUGCGUGAUGAUGCCUCCCGGCUGACCGAGGCAGUAAUGUGACCGUUAAUAGUGUUGCCAUGGUGAUUAAUCACAAACCCUGGCAGAGUCAAACCUCUCGGUGCCAACUCAAACAAAAGAUUGUAGAUUUUUAUGCCCUUGGUUUGACUCGCAAUUACCUACAGCUUGUGCAAUGACACAAUCAUUGUGCAAUUCACAUCAUCAUAAAUCUGUUUUCAUUCAGGCCACAUAGAUCCAGACUCUCCUCUUCAGAUAUUUCAUGUCUCACUAGAGCCGAUAUGGAUUUUUUGGGGCCGAUUUUUAGGGGGGAAAAAAAUCUGAUUACUGAUUAAUCGGCCGAUUUUUUACAUUUUUAUGAAGUUAUAAAAAAUGUAUAUAUACUGUAGAUAUCUACAGUGUACUGUUUACUGUAGAUAUACUGUAGGCUACUGCUCUUCAUGCCGACAGGAAGACCAACUGAUCAAACUCUGACCAGAAAAGCGUUUUCAACUACCCCCCCUUACCGCAGCCGCCGAUCGGUGCCUCUGCGUCUAAACUCACGUUACUCAUUUCUGGUCUGGUCUCAUCUGGAGACAUGCAGCUGCCUCAGUAAGAGAAGUAGCUCGAUCACGUUAUGUGUACUGUUGUUUAUUCUACCGUUACUGGCUCGGCUAACAGUGUAGCAAGGCUAAUAGCAGGUGGCUAACUCUAACUUUAGCUUGCAUAUUACACGGUGCUUCACCGUUAACUCGGCGUGACGAGACCAGCACAGCGGGGAACAUGCUUAAGUGGGUUGAACUUAUUGUGUAUUUCACAAACUGGUUUAUUUACCGUUGAGGUGGACCACUCUUCUCCGUGCGUCCCUGAGCUGCCUGCUUCAGAUCCGUCACUCUGCUGUGCUGUGAGGUAGUUAUUGGAUGAAGAUUGGCAUGAGGUCGCUGCGCCAUCUACAGGAUAAGUCGGGGAACUUUUCAAAUGGCGGAACAUUUUAGAAGUGAAACCGAAUCUUAUUCUCCGCAUUUUAUUUCUGUAAUAUUGGCGAAAAUUGUCGAGUUUUGGCCGAUUACCGAUUAUUCUCAAACGGGCUAAAAUUGGCCGAUUUAGACGGCUCGCCGAUAAAUCGGUCAGGCCUUAUGUCGCACUAUGACAGUAAUGUACCGUAUUUUUCGCACUAUAAGGCGCACCUUCAAUGAACGCAUCUAUUCGCGUCUAUUUCCAUACAUAAGGCGCACUGGAUUAUAAAGCGCAUUAAGCCAAACAAAACAGUUCGAUAAGUCAAACUUUAUGGUAACCCUUUCUUUUACGGUACACUUAUUACCAGGUAAUUAACAGGUAAUUACCUAGUAACAACAUGAAAUUAUCUGCAAUUACAUGAUAACUACUAAGUCAAUACUGUCUAGCUACCAGGUAGGUAACCUUCCAUCAUCAUUCAAAUUUGAAGCUGAAUUGCAGUGGUGAUUCCAGGAUUUUCUCAGCUUCCUGGAACCACCACUUGCGCAGUAGCAUUGUACGCAUUCGGCGGGUGAGUCGCUGUGAUAAUGCUCGGCUCAAACAGCGUAUCGCUACGCAAUCUUUGCACGCCCAUAGGCUGUAUCAAGUGUCCAUCAUAGAAAAUAAGAACCCCAAAUAGCUUUUGAAAAUGGAGCUGUACAAAAUAAAGAAAAACCAGACAGUAUUGACUUAGUAGUUAUCAUGUAAUUACCAGAUAAUUUCAUGUUGUUACUAUGUAAUUAUCUGUUAAUUACCUGGUAAUACGUGUACCGUAAAAGAAAGGGUUACUAGCUUUAUUUAACUCAUUCAAUAACUCCGUGAGGCUACGGUAGCUGCCGUGCUCCGACGAGCCAAAAUGAUUUCAAGUGCGCCUUAUAGUGUGAAAAAUACAGUAGGUGAAAUUUCCCUCUUGAUGGAAAUGAUAUGAAUAUCUGAUGGCAGCAGAACCAAUAUUUUGUUAUUUUCUUAAAUAAAUGCAUCUGGAGUUUAAGUUUAUUUCUGAUGCAAACUCUGUGAAUUUUGUGUAAAAGCAGCUGAAGGUUUCGGUGUUUGGACUCCACAGCCUCGGCUCCUUUUUUUUUCUUCAUUCAGAUCAGAGGACAAACAUUUCAGAGAUGCUGCCUCUAAACUUCACUUCAGACAACCGUUAUCAAUAACGGCAGCACUUACUGUCAAAACAAGCUUCCUGGACUUAUUUUGGGCGCUCACGGGAAAUCUGUUUAAAGUAUCUUUAGAGAAAAAUUAAGUUUUAGCCUCGAGCACUUAAAAUGGCCGAAUAUAGAAUUAUUGAAAUUGUGAGCAUAGAUCUUAGCGAGUGGUCUUUAUUGCCUUCCCUCGGCUUCUCAGAGGCCACAACAAGUGCACGCAAGCAAAGCCCGGAUUAGUGGGUAAUGGCUGGCAUCAAUAUGACUGUAAUGUCAUUUGGUGAUGCAUCCUGGUCGUUACCAGGCCGGCAAAGAGUGGUCCCCAGCCCGCUGUAAUGACCGGCAUGUCAGGAAAACAAAUGUUAUUACGCAGCAGUAUUAAAUAUAGCUGUUAUUUCUGCGACAGAAGUGGGAGAAGAGAGCAGUCAGCUGAUUUCUAAUGCGUUUCCCUUCAGUCAGAUGAAAACAUACUGCUUACUGUGUGUCGGCGCAGAGAUAUUUCACUCACGUAAGAGAAGCAGUCGCUUUCUUUUGGAGUUUAUUGGAGCAGGACAGAUUCAUUUUUUUUAGCUGUCAUGGAAAUGCGGCUGGAUCUGAUCCUUUUCUUGUAUUUGUAUUUUUUAAAAUCUCAAUAGCGUGUGCGUGGCAAAUCCAAACAAAAAGCAGCCAACAAAACAAGAAUAAAGACGUGACAUUAUUAGCUCCAGCUUUGUGUCUGCGUCCGGGGCGGCAUCUGCAGAUCUCAGAGCGCGGCGUGCACUUAUUUUUAUUUAAGCAGAAAGUAUCUGCAACAAGAGUAAGGAGAGUCGUUUUAAGUACUGCGGAAAAGCAUAAUAAGCUGGUAUUAGAAUUUAUUAUACACAAGGGUGUAAUGUUUUAUAAUGGUGCUUGAACUGCAAAUUAGCCUCUCUGUUUUGGCUCUUUCUAAUUUCACCCUUUUUACUGUGACUAAUAAUGAAAUCGGCUGUUUUUAUGUUUGUAAGAAAUAAAAGUCUAGCCGGCACGUCUGGAGCCAAAACAAGAAGGCAUACGUUCUGAAAUAGCUGAUAACAAAAGGAUUUUAUGAUUAGAGAAUAAUAUGCAGGCGGAGAAAUAGAGUGCACCUUGUAAUUUGAACAUAAUCCAUGAGUUGUUUGUGUUUGUUUAAGAGCCAAAAGAAAGAGGGGGUGAAAAAAAAGCACAACACAUCACACUGAGGAGGAAAUGAAUUAACAUAAAGCUGAAAUCUAUAAACAGAUACAGGCGUGUGUUGUUCUUGUUCCCCAAAGUUUCUCUGGAUAAAUUUGCUGAAAAGACAGCGUAUCAUUUGUAUAGACAUUCAUUUGCACAGUUUUACAGUGCGUAGCGAUGCACAUACGGCACCGCGGCAUAACAGGGCAUCACCUAAUGAGAAUGGGAGGGAGGGGAAAAAAACGCAGGAGCUGCAUCCAAAGGAAAUAAUGAGACAGCUAGGGAUUGUUGGGGGAAGUCAGCCGACCGCUGUGGUCUGUAUCUCGCCAUCAUUUCAUCAUAUGCACCAAAGACUCUGGUGUAUUCUCAUUAUUGCGCCCUUGUCCUGUGUGGAUUUCACGUUCUGCCAUAAAAUGAUGAUACAGUAAAUACUGUUUAUAUUCAAAUGCAACUUCAGCCCGAACUAUUGUGGCCGCGCAAACGAAGGAAAGUUUGAGGAACGGCACAAAAAUUCAGUGAUUCAUUCCUCAUAAAAAGGUUUUUAUACUUUAGACGGAAGAGGUUAUGACAGCGCAAUAUUUUAUUCAAAUAACUCAAUAUUCAUAGAUUCCGUUUUCUGUAUUUCUGGACUAAUGAGGCUUUUAUUUGUCUCUUGUUGUUGUGAGUUGGUGGAGCACUCAGAAGCCCUCAGAAGGUCACGCCAUGCCGCUGCUCGCUGCUGUCCUUCAUUAUGUUUGCCGCUUUUACCGCUUUUUAAAAACUUGUUAUUAAAAUGGACAUCAUCUCUCUGAGAGCACUGGAGGAUUUAGUGUAAUGAGGGAAAUUGGCCUGCAGUGUCCUCCAGCUCAACUCAUCCUCCAUCAGUGCUGCUCGAGGUGUCUGCCUCUCUGCGUAAUGAGAAAUUUAGCAGCUGAGCAGGCGCUACGUCUCAAUCUGCCCAUCUCUGCACGGCGUAUAUUAUGUCAAUACGACUGUUGAAACAGGUGGAGGAACACGUCUUUUCCCAUGUUGCAUGUGCAUGAAAUACUGGAGUCGUGUGCUGCAGCCCAGAUGAAAAACGCCGGAGGAAAGAUCUUUAAAACUCGAAUCAAUCAAACGCGUUGAUUUAAAAAAACGCACAAACUGUUAUUUACAGCCUAUAAAUAGCAGGUGUAGGCGGACAGAUGGUCACAUGUGGGAGUUCUCUGGUGGAUCUUAUAACCAGCUGGAUGUUGAAAGUUUUUCUCACUUGUGGAGUGAAGGGCAAACGUGUCUUUGUGUCUUCAUGGUGUACUUUCACACCUGAAAUAAACAGCUUUAUUAGCACAAAUUGGACUUAAUGAAAAACAAACACGAGAAAAGAAAACAGUAGAAACAGUUUGUGAAUGUUUUUCUAGAAUAAAGUAGGAAAGAAGCGACACGAUAUUAAAAAGAUCAUGUUAAUGAAACAACAUAUUAUGACAGUCUAUAAAAGGUUAUCUAUUAAAACACCUUACCUGAAUUUCCACUGCAUCCGGAUGGGCGUCCGUCAAUUCCUAACGGAUUAUAGACAGCGGGAAUCUAGAGAACUCACAGGAACCCGCAGAUUCACGUGCAAUCGCGCAAUAACAAGUUGUCUCUAUAAAGACAGCCACAAAACCAUAUUAGCAGUAGAUUGUGUCCUUCUAGAGGAGGAAAUCCACUGUUACACUUAGGUGACCAUGGAUGUCACCCCCAUGACAUCCAUGGUGUCAUCUGGGUGACUAAUGACAUCUUUUAUUUUGAAAAGAAGCUGGAUGUUUUAUUUUGUGUCUGUGCCCGACUUUCUUUCCAGCACGGGUUAAUCUGUGCUGAAUUUAUCCAACAUGCUCCAGCGUCCGGAAAAAAUAGAACUCUUGCGAUCAGCUGCAGCAAUCCACAGCGGGACGGAAAGAAUUCGGUAGAAAUUAACAUAUUAACUUGAAUGGUUUCGAUCAGCUGCGAUCAGCGGAUACGGCCUUUUCCUAGCCGUUCCGGAUGCGGUGGAAACUGGGGGUAACUCUAAUAAAAACACAUUAAUCUUAUCCCAAUAAGUUAUGUAUGCAAAUUCAUUUCCAGCCAUAAGGGCCUGUGUCCACUAGCAGCAAAUUUACAUUGUGCCCAUUUUCUGCACAAGACAAAUGCAGCUAAGUCAGCGAAAAACAAGAACUCACAGCGCUCUCGUGUGGAAACUAUUCAACUUUUGAACACUGUCAUGCUCCUCAUUUUUACAUCUUCAUUACUAACCAAUCACUGUCAAAAAGGGGGCGGGGCUUCUGGUGCCAAUAGUUGAAGUCAAACUGAUGAGAAGCUAACCACACUUCCUUUUUGAAGAGUAAAUCUUCCAGGUCUGAGUUACAGAGCAUUUUAAAAACAGACAAAUCAAUCAAAAAAAAGGACCACAGGAUAUUUUUAAUAACCUUACAUUGCUGAGAAGUGCUGCCAGUGCAAAAACUACUGGACACAGGCCCUUAAUAGGUCAUGCACAAGUAUAUCAGCCUAAAUGUAAAUGCUAAUAUGAUAAGCACUGAGUAUUUCACAGUUACCCAUCAUUUCCAAAUGGAAUGUACUCUGUCAAACCCAGAACUGAAUCAUUUUUCAUCCUAAAGCCGACCCUGCCGUUUUAUUUCCAGGGUUUUAAUCAGGUUAGCUUAAUAGAAUAAUAGCAUCCAUUGCCAAGCAGAUGAGAUGGAAUUGCUGUACUCCCUUUCUGUAUUGGUGCAAUUAUCUCUGAACUUGGUGCAGGCAGAAAAAAAAAGCUUUUUAAACACUGUUCCAACUUUUUCUUCCAAUGCCCCCCAUGGAAAACUGGUUCCCUUAGCAACUGCCGAUGUUACGGGUCGUCCCUGACCACCUCCCUGCUUCAGACACACAGAUGCCUCUCCUAUCCCCAGUUAACAGCCGUUAUAUCCACGCACAGACACAGGGUUGGUGUCAACGUUUGUAUCCAAUCAUCUGGGUCUGAAUCUAGGUUAACUUAAAAUCAAUGCCAACCGUACUCCUUUAUUAAUGUACCUCCGAAUUUACAUAAAAUCAUAAGACAUUAAUCAUAAUGAAACACGUGCUCCCGAAAGUCCCACACCUCUCCAAAGUAAUCCAUCCUCAUUUGAGUUUUUCCACUUAAUAAAGAUACAAGGUGAUCACAGUGGGAGGUAUUUCGCACGGUGACAUCUUGAAUACUUCGUUUGUGGCGUUUGCAGCGACUCAAGGCUGAUUUACCCGCAUUUCUUAACUGUUUUCUCUCUGAGGUGGAAAGUCAGGGUCUGCUGUGCCGAAGGAAGAGGCUUCAAAAGAGGAAGAAAUAAGAAAGAGAAAAAAAGAAAAGAUGCAUCAUUAAGAUUUCUCUUUGCUGUCCUUGCAGCUAAUUACAUACAGUGGGAAACCUCUGAGGAGGAUGAGGUGUUGCUUCAUGUCAAAAACCUCGGUGGUCGUUUUUCUCCUCGCUCUUUGUUGAUGAUGUGGAUAAUGAGCCACCUGUCUUACAGGAGUCCUGCAAUAUUUCACUCAGUAUUUCAUCUGCCAGAGCGGGGAGAAUAAAAUGCUCGCUGCAGUGUGAAAGAACAGAAAAGAGCGGCUGAUCCUUGCCUCAGUCGCUUCACCUGCACAGCACAUUUCUAUCUUCCUUUUUGCAAAUUGUCUGCAGCGUAUUUUUCUUAUCUCCAGACUUUCUCGUAAAGAACCGAAGCUGUAAUCUGAGACGUUUUUCAAUUAUAAACCAUUAUCCUAUGUGUCUGCUUGGUUGAGUUUUAUUUAAGACAGUAACACAGCACAUGCGUUUCCUUGUCUUUAUGCUCCGCUGUGUCAGUCACACUCAACCUUUCGUCUUCUCAUUACUUGGCUGGUUAAUGACAUUUCGCCCCAUAGCAACCAAAGGUAAAAGAAAUGAGCAAGUAUUGGCUCAAGUGCGCUAUUUAAAGCAGGGUAUACACCAGGCCUCCCAGCUGUUACACUCAAUUGAUCACCUACUUAAAGUUAAUGUGCAGAAUCUACAUGCUACACGGGAAACACAAUACAGCUAAUUAAACAAAGGAGAUAAACAGUUAAAGAAAAAUCAAGCUUAGUGUUGUUAAAGAACCACAUAAAGAGUCAUGAAUAAUUAAUGAAUGUUUUGAAGUUUAAUUUAUAAGACACACGGUGUACAAUUGGUCCAAACCGGCUGAUUUUUAUACCCAAGUGAGCAGCUGUGAGAGACAGGAGAGAGGAGUGCCUGAGGAUUUGGUGAAAGAUAAGUAAGAUGGUGCAAGUCCAUGCAAGACCUUAGCAGCUAAAAGAGGGACCUUAAAAACAGCUGUGAUGUGCACAAAACAGUGAAGAGAGGCCAAUAAUUUAAAUUCUAUUUAUUUAUUUAUUCGCUUUUUUGUUAAGAUUCUGACUGCAGUUCUACUUCACUGUCGUAUAACUAAGAAGAUGAGAGAAAAUGAAAACACAAAUACAUGGAUUUAGGUUUCUAAAUACUUUAUUGACCAAAAUAUGCAUUUUUUAUUCACUACAUGUUGAUCAAUAUUUAAAGGGAUAUUCCUGCAUAAAAUUAAUUUAGGGUCAAACACACCACAACACCAAGUUAGACACCCCCUCUAGAGAUGAAUGCUGCCGACCGCUUGCUUCUCUAGUUAUACCAAUUUUAGUAACGACCGCAUGAUAGCAAUACACAGCGGUCCAUGGAACUAUACACAAACCUCAACCAAAACGCCACUCUAUAGCCACAAAUAAUGUUCAGAACAUCACCUAACUUCAUCAACAGGACAUAUAGGGUCAUAUUUUUGACUUCGCCUUAUUUCUUUAGCAAAAGACUAAACACAACUCACCUACUCUCUUCCAGCAGCCGCUUGUUUGUAGUGAGACCUCAGGCCAGUCUAUUGCAGACUGCAGUGGGGUGACGCAGCUCAAGGAAGAUUAUUUAUGAUCAUUUCUUCAUGGAAAUGCAAUCAGACCGAGGCGCUAAGGCAUCUGUUGUGCAAAAUGAUUAAUAUGAUGAUUAUUACUUCAAGGAAAUGAUGAAGUAAUGAUCAUAAAUGUUCUGUCUUGAACUGCGUCACCCCGCAGCAGUCUGUGAUGGACUGGCCAGAGGUCUUGCUUCAAACAAGCGGCUGCUGGAAGAGAGUAGGUGAGUUGUGUUUAGUCUCUUUGCUAAAGAAAUUAGGCAAAGCUAAAAAGAUGUUUGGUGGCUGGUGCUGUGGCUGGGACCCUAUAUGUCCUGUUGAUGGAGUUAGGUGCUGUUCUGAGCAUUAUUUGUGGCCGCUGUGUAUUGCUAUCCUGCGCUCGUGACUAAAGUUGGUAUAACUAGAGAAGCAAGCGGUCGGCAACAUUCAUCUCUAUGACAAUGGUGGACAGAAGCCAACUGUCACUCACCGCUUCAGUGUCAGAGGGUUUAAAGAUGAAGAGACAAGGCGACCAGAGUGAUGUAGGACAAAAGAAGGACCACUUAUUUGACAACUGAGGCAGCAUCCUGAUGCACUUUCAUAGUAAAGUUGUUGUUGCAAAUGCUGCAGAGACAUAAAUCAACUGUCAAACUCAAAAAAUUCAGUGUCACUUGAUGUAAUGUCUCAGACAGUGAGUGUGAUACCUGAAAGAUGGAAGAAAAGCACAGCAAUGACCAGACCUGCUAUUCACCCGAUGGAAUGAAGGUUAUUAUGGUAUUAAAGCACAGAUAACAUACUGUAAGUGCUUCAUUUAGACAUGUGACCAUAUACAGGGUCUACAAAACUUAAAAAUUUAAGUUACAGUGGCACAAGAGUUUUUAGGAUUCAUCCUCUGGUGAUGAUGAAUGGAUGUGCCAAUUUACAUGCCAAUCCAUCCAAUGACUUUUGAGAUUCUUGCAGAUAGUUACGAACAACUCAGCACAUGCAUGAUUUUCCAGUUGUAUUGCCAUUUUGCCACAGCGAACUGUCAUGCAUGAGAAUUUCCUUCAGUGCAGCACAGUUUAAUAACCAAAAAGCCCCUGUUGUCAUGCACACAUAUUCCUCUUCCAGCCCUCACAGUAGAAGUGUGUAUUCGGGACUGAAAGCACUGGCCCCUGCUAUGCGAAAUGCAAAUGUGAACUUUGCAGAGACCAACUUUGAUGCGGGGUCUCCUUGGUUAGCGGAGAAAGAACAAAAGGACCCGCUGAAGUGCCUCCGUGUCUGAUGAAGUGCCUAUUUAUGGUUUGGGUGGGUGGAUAACAAGAAUGUUGUGGCGACUGUACCAGCAGAUGACACAAAGGUGGUCAUGCUGACUCUUUGGGUCGGUGCGUUUCUCUGUGAGUGUGGCGGAGACGUCUCUGAUUUUCUUAAAGCAAGAAAAGUUGAGACCUACGAGCGAAGCAAAACCAGGAGAUAGGAUGUGGAGGUUGAUGGGCUGCUGAGUUUAUUGAAUGCAUACUAUGACUAAAACUGGACCUGUAAACAUAUUAGGGCUGAAACAAUUCGGGCCAAAAAUGAAAGCCUGAUUUUCUUCUCCGAAACGCCAUGUUUGUUGAGCGCUUCCACAGGAAGGGGGAGCCUACGGUGGCCUGGAGGCGAGAGACAUGAUCGAGAGUGUUAUGUCCUGAUAGGAUAGGGGUGUUCAGGACUAACAAAAAUAGCAAUCAAAAAAAAAAAACAGGUAAGAAUGGAAAUAAAAAGAGAGUGGCAAGGAUAUGCAAUAACUCAAAUAUUUUAAUAAUGAAAUUCAGGUCAGCACCGCUACAAAAGUUUAUUGAAUGCAUUCAGUGACUAUGACUAAAACUGGACUUGUAAACAUAUUAGGGCUGAAACGAUUUGGGCCAAAAUUGAAAGCCUGAUUUUCUUCUCUGAAAACUCGUUUUUGGAUUUCAGUUUCGAUUUUUUAUUCAGUGACAACUUCACCAAACUUCACUUUAAUAAGUUUUUUUUGACAUCUCUCAAAACGAAACCACUGAAAUUGAUGUACUGCAUAUGCCAAGCCAGUAAGUGGCGCUGUAACGCUGCCAAGGAAAUGCACAAAAGACAGAAGAAGAGUACAGAGCGUUUUUGCCGGACACACGGAGGCGCCAUAAAAGAGUCACAAAGUUGUUAAGAGAGAUGCAGAGAGGCAUCCACGCAGAGAUGAAAUGGACGUCGUUUACAGAUUUAUGCACUCUCCGACCCGUUUUCAGUCACCUGAAACACCGUUCCCGUGUAAAUAGGACAAAAAAAAAUGUAUUUACUCCCAGAUUUGUUUCCGUGUCGAUGGGUUGAUACCGCCUUCAGACAGACUUUGCAGCGGGGAGUGGUUUGCCCAUCUAAAAACUCACCAGCAUGAGACAGCAUUUGUUUUAUUGCUUUUUAUUAUUUUUUUAAAACAACUAUUUAUUGUUGUUUUAUGUUUCAUGUUAUUAUGUACAGCACUUUGUGUCAGCUUUGGUUGUAUUUAAAGCGCUCCAUAAAUAAAGUUGAGUUGAGUUCAUCCGAAACUGUGAAGUCGAACCAAUUCCACAUGACUGACUUGCUCUCGCCCUUUUUAGCCACGAAAUUAUCGCCUUCUUUUGCAAACGUCUUGUUUGUUUACACUGGUGUGAGCGCCCUGGCAGGAAGGGAGAACCUAUGGUAGCCUGGAGGCGUGAGACAUGAUUGAGAGGAAAAUCGAUUUUGAUGAUUUAAAUUUUUUUAAACAUCACCAUAAUUAAAUAAUCUGAGUAUGAAUUAAAAUAGAUCAAUUAUGCAGCCCUAAAGCAUAGAAACACGCCGAGGGGGCUGUUUGGUGUUGCAGUGCUCGUCUAUUUGUUAAGUUACUCUUAAUGAAGCGUCUCAUGAUUCACAGAUUCCAACAGAUGCUGAGUGACGCACAUUACUGUGUAACCUUCUGCAUUAUUUCACACUCUGAAGCAUUAUCUCUGGAGACAGCUGUUCAGAUCACACGACUCCCUGUCUGUGCGUGAGUGAUGAACUCAUCUAUCAUGAUUGAUCAAGGUCCCAGGUUCACAUUCACAAUGAGCCCUCUGGUUUUGAGAUGAUGGGAUGGAGGAGAAGCCAACCUCAAAGUAUUAUUUUAUUUUUUUUGACAUUUUCUCUUGAAAGCCCCUUCAGAAAAUAAACUUUUUCUUUUUUUUUGUUACCGUCUGCACUGCUUCAAACUGUUGUUUCUCAGGACCGUGAAGCUCCUCUGGAAAUUGGCGUGGAUUUAAUGGAUGGCUGCCUCGCCAGUGCUUUAUUAAUGUAGCGUUUAAUACGAAUCCCCGUCCAGUUUUGGUCUUCUGUUCGUCUAUCCCUCUAGAAGCCUCAGCUCUCAUACUGAAAUGAAGAUUGCAUAAUUAACCAGCUUUUUGAAACACAAGAGAGCAGUUUAAUGGAAAUUUAAACAGACACAAUGCUCAAAUAUGCCAGACAUAGCAUCUUACGUAACGCGGUAUUUCAUGUAUCUCUAUUCUGUUUGACUGCUCAGAUUCAUUCGUUUUGUUGCUUGAGUGCAUCUUAUUUGAGUUUUCUGCCUCUUUUGAGCCGAGGGGGAUGUUUUACUUCUGAUAGUUUUGGCCCAGUUAGUCUUAAUGGGGUCAAGAGCAUUUUUUAUUUAUAUCCCAAAAUGCCAUGAAGUUUGUCGGAUAAACUAAACUGUUAAGAUGCAAACCCUUGCUUCUUCUAUCCGGGGACAAUUUAAUAGGGCAAUGAUUGUACCGCUCCGGGGGUUAGAGGGAAAAAAUUCUGGGAAAAAAGCGGAAAAAUAACGCCAUAGGUGUUUAUGUGCAAAUGUGUUUGAAAAGAGGUUAAAAGAUAAAGUCGAACGCCAUCUGUUCCUUUAAAAAUACGCUCUUUAUAACAGCCUGCGAUGCAAAGCAGAUUCAUUAGAUGAAGUUCAUUGUGGUUGAUUGUCACAGCUGCGCAGUGAAAGAUGGGUCAAUAACUAGUGUUGCGCGCUGCCAUGUUUAUUGCCAUGUUGAAGAUCCAUCUUCAUCUGGCGAGAACAGACUGUAUCGUGCAUUUGCAUGAUGAGACAAUGGAGCCGCAUUAAAGGUGUCAUCCGCGUCUUCUCCUUAAAUAAUGGUGAUGCGAUCAUGUGCGGUGAUGUGGUGCGCGUUAUGAAACAAUAGCUCACUGGAUGGACUGUAGGUGUCACAAAGUGUGAGGAGGUUCCAAGUAGAGGCGAGCGAUGGCUGUCGUUUAAGCAGUUGGCUCUGAUAUUGGAGGCUGUUGUUGUUAAUUAAGCAUGUUUUUAAAGGUGGAACAGUGAUAAAGUAAUUAAGUUAUACAUGUGGAUGAGAUUUUCUGUCAGAAAACACCACCCACACAGGUACAGAAAAGAUUAGCAGAUAAAUAAGGGAUGUCUUCUUUGUCUACAAGGAGCCCCACAAUUGACACAAGCCAAGUUUCUCACAUAAAGACAAUGUUAUAUGUUCAGGUGAAGUAUUACAGAGACUCACAGUAAAUACUUGAUGACUUAUUAUGAGGAUAAAUGGAUAAACAAAGCAAUUUAAAUAAUUUCAUCACAUGCAACAGCCUACGGCAAGACAUGAGAGUACCUGUCUGCAGACACAGAGCAGUGAGACCUUUUGUAAAAACAUGAGCAGAGGGAAGUAGGCAAGACAGUCUAUGUGCAGACAUUCACUGAGAGGACCCAAGGUGACGUCUGACGUGGUCAUCCCGUUUUGUAUUUGGUCUUUGUUGAACACAUGAAUACACAAAAACUAGGGUGACCGUUUUCAGAAUCCCCAAAAAGAAGACAUGGCUUCUUUGGGGCAGAGUCACAGAGUUGCACAAAGUUAAUUUUGAGAGUUUUUCACACGCUUCUAACUCAGUAAGUCCACAUGACACAAACUCGAAAGUUCUACACAAAACCCCGGACAUUUGAAGGAUUUUAUAAACUUCUCUAGGCAAAGCUGGACAGCCCCCCAAAAGAGGACAUGUACAGGUAUAAGAGGACAUAUGGUCACCCUACAAAAAAUCAUAUUAACAUUAUAUACAUUAAAUACAGCCCCAAGAAAAAAUCAUAUUCACAGGAGACAAAAAAUAUAUACUUUCCGGUGUAAUCGCUUUUAACUUGAAAAGCUUUGAAUCAACUUCAAAUGUAAAAAAGAAAUAUUUGCUUUUAUUUUGAAAGAGUUCAAACAACUUCCAGUCUGCUCAGUGGAGGUCUGCAGCCAGACCCUCUUCAAGUAGGACCAUUGCUUGAUUACUGGGAAACAUGGCGAUCUUCCCAGCGAAAGUUGUUCUUCAUUUUGACUUUUUCACACAUUUUUACUGUAAAAAUCCUCAAACUUAGAGAGGUUGAUAUUUUAAAUUGCAGUUUGGAGAUAAUCUGAGUAUUCAAGUGAUGUACCUCCUAAUAUUAUCAACGUGUUAUCAGCCAUCUCAAUCUCAUCCAAAAUUUCUUCUUUGUGCUGUCUUAACCAACUUUUAUGGUUAAUACACAUAGCUUUAUACUUAAAAUGUUAAACUUUAGAUUCAAUCCAGCUGUUUUAUCCACAUCUUUCUAUCUGCGCUUGUGCCUACAGAGGUUUCAACAGAGCACAUGCUGAGAAAUAGAGGCCCGCAGCAUUCAUAGCUCAGACAUGUGUUCCUGUUAUGCACACUCAGUGCCUCUGUAUUGAGAAAAAAGCAAAUAAAACAUAAUCCAAGAUCCGUCUCGGUGUCUCCAGAGUGCUCUGAACCUGUGACACAAAGGUUAAAGAAAGGAAAAGCGACAAAUGAAACACAUUUCUCUUACUUUGUAUUCAUUUGAAAGAUGCUCUCAACAAAGUAAAUGGUGUCUUUUUCCGGUACUCCAGCCUGAUUUAGAUGGAGAGAACCCCAGGUGUAUGCUUAAACCUGCAGGAAAUGAGACAUUAUCGAGUAAUAAGAUGAGGUGCCUUGUAUACAAAAUUGUAAACUGACUGGUUGGAAUCCACAGUCAUGCAUUCAAUGCCAAAACACCCAUUCACACAGCAGUAUGAAGUGAAAUGUUUGCAUGACUUAGAGGGAAAAAAAAACCUGCAUAGAGUCAGACUGCUCACAUAAGCUGGUGUCACAUAUGUUUAUGUUUUAUUCUAUGAAGAAAGAGAGAACAAUCAGCUCAAUGUCACAGCUGCAGAUAUGGAGUUAACGUAUAGUGUAGCUAUAUUUGAGUGGAUGUGGAAGCCUCUAUAGAUUGGCACAGCUAAUGAUCAUUUAUACAGAGUUGAGUCAAAGUGAGCAGCUUUCUACUGGAAAUGUAAUCGUUUGUAGUAUUUUAUUCAGUUAUUUCUUCACGCAGAUUUUAAAUGAGCUUGCACAGUUGCCAUAACUUCACAACUUUGACUACUUUUUCAUUAUAAGUACACAAAAUCUGGUUAGGGAUAAUCCUCUGUUUAGUUUACACUCUGACUUUGUUUCUGCUUCUUGCUUACCACAGAGUAAGUCUCCUGUUCAGUUUGAGUUAUGGCCUUUAUAGAGUUUUAUUUAAGCUUCAUGAAUGAACUCUAUUCUUUCACAUUUGUUGCCUGUGCAGGAGUGAUGUAAACCGUAGUUCCUAUAGUGUCCUCUAGAGGCUGCUGUUAUUAAAACCUGUGGAACAUGUUAGCAGCCUGGUACAAAAACACAGCUACCAUUUUGCAUCUCUGAGACCAUGUCCAUGUUCUGCAUAGUCUUCAUUAGAGUCAAAUGUGCAGUUUUAGAGAGACUAGAUAUUGUUUGGUUGUGUUGGUCGUAUUUUGACGUAGAAAGAUUAAAAUUGUGCUAUUUGCAAUCUGAAAACUCAAGAUUUCAACCUUUUUCAAAAGCCUGCCCAGUCUUAAAGUCAGUCUGAAGUGUAACUGUUUGCAUAAAUGAAAAACCAAAUGGUGUUAAAUUCAUAGUAGGUAGCUGAACUGCAAAUUUAGACAACUUAUAAUGUCAUAUUUUAUUUUAGUUUUCUUCUCUGAGCCACUAAAAAUGAGUUUGACCACAGCCAGAAAAGUCCAAUUUUAAUCCAGGCAAUAACAAUAUAAUUCCAAUCAUUAUUCAGAUCCAGCCUUUCUUAUAUCAAACACAAUGCAGAUUAGAAAUCAUGUGGCUUUGGACUCAGUCUUUCAGAGUCAGAUUACGACUGUAAACUCCUCACACCCGAGGAUCGUUUCAGGAGAUAAUCUGUUCCAGUCAGCAUCAAAGCCGGACCACCCCAGCAUUCGCUGGAAGGAACAAAUCGGAUCCAAAAUCAGCCAAAUGAUCCUUUGGUGCGGGGACAAUGAAGCUGUAGACUGAAAUGGGGAACAGGGGAUUGAAGUCUUUUGGCGUGACUCACUGGCGAGCCCGUUUGGCCAAUAUUGGUUAAGAUUCGAGGAAAGAGGAGUUACCACGGGGUCCUGGUGAAACUGAAGACCGUUCAGCCGGAGCAGGAGCAGAAUCACAGCGCUGCAGGGUUUGACAUGGUGUAAAAGAAGAAGCAGUUUCCCUUUCAGGACAAAAUGCAGUUUGGGAGGUUGAAAACCAGUUAAGGAGCAUCAUUUAACUGGUGAAUACUGAUAGACAUGCUGCAGUGCCAUCAUUUAAAAGAACUUGUAUGUAGGUCCCAAAAUAGAAAGACUUGGUCACUAUUGAUGUUUGUUUUGGAUUCAACUAAGUCAAAAAUCUGGUUAUUGGUGUCCUUACUGCGGAAAUGUUAACAUGAAACACAAAAUUUCUUUAAGGUAAACUUUAUGUAGAUAAACAUUACUUCUUACAUAUCUGCCAUAUUUUACACCCUAGAUGAAUUUAAGUGUCAUCAUUCACAUGUUAGUCUCAAUAAUGACAGAGAGGUUCAUUUUGGUCCAAACUGUGCUCCCUCAUCCUCUAGAUUUAUGAAUCCUUUGUAUAUUUUAUUAUAUUUAAAAACAUUUUUGGCUUGUUGAUGCACUUUAGUAUCACCCCCGUGUCUGAACUAUAUUGAAAUUGCAUGACCUGAUUGUAGUCCAUUUGCAAAUCAGUGUUAUGAGUUCUUACCUCAAUCCUUCUCUCUGCCUGACUGAGUAUUUUUGGCAAUAGCACACCUUUUAAAAUCCUUUUAUCAUCAAUAUUCUUUAUUUUUACUUUUGUAUGAUGUAGCUUUUUAAUAUCAUGCUGCAACUAAGAUGCGAGCACACAGUAAGUAUCAGACUCCAGCUGUACUGGAUAGAGACGAAAGAGGGUUAGAGCCACAAGAAGAGGAGGGAGAUUUUACUUCGAGAUUAAAGUUGAAAUUUAAAAAAGUUUAAAUUUCGACUUUUUUCAUGUCAACUUUAAUCUCAAAAUUCCACUUUAAUCUCAAAAUCAGAUUUUUUUUUUAUGUCAAAAUUUCGACAGUAAUCAGGACAUUUUAUAAUAUCUGAAUUUCGACUUUAAUCUCGAAUUUUCACUUUUUAAUCUUGAAAUUUGACUUUAUUGACAUGAUUCCAAUUGUUAAUGUUGAAAUUUUAACUCUAAUCUCCUUCCUGUAAUUAUGUUUUUUCUCUUCAUGUGGUCCUAAUCCUCUUUCGUAGGAUAGAGUCGUGUUUUCUGCUGCCCUGGAUCGAUUAUAAAAGAGCACCACCAUUACAUUAGUGUAAUACUGCAGCUACCUUCAACCUUUUGAAUCAACAGAUAAGACUCAGAGGUUAAAAACUGUUUAAAGAACUGUAGUAUGAAUAAACUUUUAAAAGAUGACCCUAAAGGUCCAAAAAGCAGGACCCCAUCCGACCCCAACAACAAAAACUCCUGAACAUCCCGUCCAUUAAGGGAGUAAAUAGUGAAACAGUAAAUGGACAGCACUUAUACAGUAUAGUGCUUUCUGAGUCCUGAGACCACUCAAAGUGCUUUUACACUACAUGUGCCAUUCACACACACACAUUUACACAUUGAUGGCAGAGGCUGUGAUGAUAAGUGCCCAUCAGUACUAAUACCGCCCGUCUAUCCACAUGCUGCUUUUUUUGAGUUGGAGGUCUUGUCCAAGGAUGAGGUUUUGAAACAAACCGCCAAACUUCAGGAGUGGAGGGAAGAGGAGAGUAAUCACAGGAGAAAGAUUUGCGAUCAGUUCAUCUACGAAAAAAAAUUCAAUUAGAAAGAUCUCGCAGAGCUGCUGUCCUAUAAGAAUCUUAUCUUUUUAAUAUCAGGGAAAGACAUAACACCCCUAAGCCAGAGAGAAAUGGAGUGAGUCUUCAGAGAUUUCCCAAAAGAGAGGGAAAGUCUUCUACACCGCACAAAGAAGAAUCAAACUGGAAUCAACAGAAACCUCAAUGAUCCCCGAACAGCGGUAAAUCUUGAUCGUAUUUCGAAGAGUUGUCAAGAUCAGAAAAUAGCUCUUCUAUAAUUGAUGUGGAAUAGACCAAAAGGGAAAAAAAAACAAAAGCUUUGGUUCAGGUAAUAAGUGGGAGUAGUUCAUCUGUUAUUUUGGCCUGAAAUAUUCGACAGAUUUCAGGUGGCUGGGGUUUUAAAAAAUGUUUUUGCCUGAUCCUGUUCUGAGCGCAGCUCUGAUCUGAGAGAUUGAUCCACACCUCGGACUCCAAAACAAUAGAAAAACUUUCAGUGAGUUUAUCAUUUAUCUUUGAUAUGAGUUAGCUCAGAUUGGACUUUUGGGACAAAUGCACUUCUGAUAUCAGAGUAACAGAGAGAGGAAGAUAGCACAGGAGGGAAGGCGUAAAAGACGCUGCAGGAGUCACCGUUUAAUGUAUUAAAGAUGGCAGAGUUCAUCGCUAUGACAACAUCUCGAUGAUACCCUUCACUGUACGAGUGUUUCCUGUUUAUGUUCAGAUCCACUAGAGAAACUGUUUACAUCAGUUCAACAAAGUCCACUGUGGAAACCGAAGCCAUCUGCUCGCUCAAAUAGUACGCCCAUUCAUGGAAAUUCAAGUUUUCAAUGAAGUAAACUUGAAAGGCUCUUCGAUCAGCAGCACGCAGAGUGAAGCUGAGCAGAAGUAAGAAGAAAAUGCAAACUCCUCACUGGAGAAGCCAGCUGGAUCAGACCCAAACCCUUCCUGCUGAUAUCACGGUUCAAAAAGAGAAGAGUGUGCGACUGUAUCCUUGAAUUACCUUCCCACCUUCCUCGUUAUAAUUGAGCUGUAAUACCUGGAUUCACCGUGAACUCUUGAGAUUGAGUUGUAAACAAAUGUGUCCCCGGAUGACAACAGGUUUUACUCAAAGAUUGGAGCCUUGUUUGUGAGGACAAAUUCGAUCCAGAGCUUCAUGGUGGCCUCGCUUCUUGUGCUGCUACUUCAUCAACUGCUUUGCAACCCUCGUUUUGUGGCGUAUCAGAGCCAUACGGCCAAAUAUGACUAAUGCAUGCAUAAGUGGUCCUUUGAUAACAGUGCACUACACACAGAAAAACACAGUGACACAUGGGGAAUGAUCCCAAAUGACUCCAAUUUAAGUGGAGUGAACACACAUACUCAUGAUCAAAGUCUGCAUUGUUUCCAAUUUUUCCCUGUCGUGACAGAUAAAAGCUGGACACACAUUCACUUGUCUGCUUUCUAAAUUUUAUCCUCAUAUUUAUUUGUUGAUUUGCAGUUGAUCAAAACUGUGAAAUGCAUAACUAGAUAAAUCUUGGCCAACCAACAAAACCUGCAAGUUUGUCUUUUAUUGUUGAUGUUCCCUGCAGGGAUUGUUUUACUGUAGCAGUCGAUACCUGCUGAGAUGCUGUAGGAGGUUCAAAGCAUGAAGGCAACCGGACUCGCAUCGUAAAAAACUCUGAUCUUAGCAAGUGUUUUGUCUCAUUUCUGGUUAAAAAUGUCCUUACAGGCUUUAGUGGACCCACAUUCCCCCCAACAAGUCCAGAACAAUGUCUUAUUAUCAUGAAGGUAUUGUACACCAACAUAAGACCUGAAUUGCGCAAGGCUAAUGCGAUCACUUUGACAGCUAUGCUCCCUUUUUUGAUACGACAGUAUCCAUCUGUCGAGGUUUCAUUUACUGCCUGGCAUUUAUGCAGUUCAACUUCCUGCCUGGUGGGUGAACACUGGAGCAUGCACAAAACACUUGAACCAUGGACGUUAUUUUUUCAAAAGCCGUUUUGGUCCCCUGCAGUUUUAACCAUCAGAAAACAAUGUUACUAUACGCGAUAGCAAACCGAUACGCGUCAGGCACUCGGACCAAACGGCCGCCCAAUUCUGGGUGUAGUUCACAUUUAUCUUCCGGACUAAGUUGGACUUAAACUGAGUAUCAUUGGCCAGCUAUCUCCCAUGUGAACAGACCAACCUCUGUUCACACAGUCUUACUAAAAAUGUGCUAUGAAAUAUGUGUGUGUGUGUGUUGUUGACCUUGAGGUGUGUAACUACAGUAGCAAACCCAUCCAACAGAAGAAAAAGAGCAAUGUGGAACAUCAGGUUCUUUCUUAUCAAGUUAGACAUCAUAGUGUUCUGAUUAAAUGAAAACAACCUUUGAGUAAAUAGAAACAUUCAUUAAAUUGCAUGUGUUCAGUGGAAAAGUACAAAAUAAAACACAAUUAUAACACCCCCCACCUUUGAAAUCAAAAUUUCGUCCAUGAGAAGAGUAAAUCAGUCCCAAACCAGAAUCAUCUUGGUUUGUUUGCAAAUGUGAAAAGUUCAAUUUAGUGCGAUUUCCAUCAGAAUAACAUGUUUACAAAAACAAUAAAAGUCAGUUUCAGCUGUACUAAUGCAACAAAUCAAUUUUUUUAACAACAUGCGAACAUACUAACAUAUGGGAUAAAAUGAAAUUAGCCUUUCACUGCUUGUAUUUUGACAGAUACGCUGCAUAGUGGGGAAAUAUUGUGUAUUUUGAACCACACACAUUUUUCAUCUCAUUGAUGAAAACCGAACAUUUGUUUCCUGAAGUUUUGUACCAUCAGUGUUGUAGUUUCCGCUCUUGUUUUCUUGUCUCUAUUAUCAGAAUAAGGUCGUUGAAGAACAUUCAUCAUUAUUUUCAUCUAUGAAAUACUCACUUUGGCGCACACACACAGAGUGAGUUUUGUUUUUCAGACUCCAGUACACACUUAAUAAAAAAAAUCACCUUCAGCCAAAAUUCUGCUUUUUUCCUAAAUGGUAUUUCAAAUCUCAAAUGUUUGUCCCGGUCGAUUAUUGAGAAACAUUCAGCGAGAGCACACACUUGAGAUCACAAAACUGCUUUUGAACGUCUGUUUCAGGCUGUUUUAAAAAGACUUAAGAGUGAGGAUUGAAGUGGUUAUGAAUCGAGGAAGCUGAGGAUCCCUUUCAAUCUGCUGUGAUAUUGUUCCCAGGCAGCUGUCCUUGAACCUUUUGUACUUCCAUUGCUAUUUUGAUUUGUGGCUGAAUGAGAGGAAUGUGUGCCUUAAAAGCCGGGGGGAGAAAAAAAUGUCUUUAUAUCGCGGUGGUGAAUCCGACGCAUCUUCGCUUUUAUCUGAGAUCGAAAUUUGUUGCAUUCUUUUUCAUUUCUGUCCUUAAAAUUGGAAAUCUUGAUCGAGGUUUGUUUGAAAGGAACCGUGAGACUGAAUGAUGUGCCGUAUGAAGUCACAAAACGAAUCAAAUAAAAAAGUGCAACAACUCGCAUCAAUCAAAGUUAGCAUUUGAAAGUUGGAUUGGCGAAAAGAAAAAAAAGGAAAAAGAUUAUUUUUUUCAUUUUUUUCUCGUCUCUAUUCAUCAUCGCUGUAUGGGGGCAACAUCCCACAACGAGGAAAAUCAUUACCUCGCAUUUUGAGUUUCCAGCUCCAUCUCUAUGUGUCACGCUCAUUCAGUAAAUGUUUCAUGCCACCUCUUCACACUCUCCCAGACCCGAUCCUUGAAUAUGAACUGUAAAUAAAAGAACAAAAGGCCAUAAAGUCAUAUCGCCUAGUGCUCCUGGCGUGUUUUAAAAGCCCCCCGUUGUGCACUCAAUCAUGCUUAGAUCAAACACCGCCGCAGCUUUGUCAUGGUGGACGCCAUGGAAGGAGAGGACAAAUGAUGGGUGUGUGCCUGUGCAAGAAAGAGAAAGGAAUAUGAUUGAUUGCAUGCGUAUUACAGAGUAUGUGUGCAAUGCCACCCUCUGUGGUUUUGAUGUGCUCUGAGUUGGAAGUGAAUCCUAUGUGCCUCCUGCAGUUCACAGGCAUAUUUGCCUUUUGUUGCACCAAUGAGGGAGUGACGGGAUGAUGAGAGAGACAGGCUGAGAGGCAGUGGGAGCAUCUGAAUGACACAGACAAAGGCGCAUACAGACAGCCAGCGUGCACGCUCAUGUGAAAACUCAUGCUGUUGAUCAAGAGCUGAGAUUUUCGACUGAUGGCAGGAUUUAAAAAAAUGGAGAUGUCACCUUUUCUGUCGGGUUUACCUGGUGUGCAAUUAGAGUGAUCUGUGUGACUGUCUGCAAAAGUCGUCACCUUGCAGGUCUCUAAGUGCACGCUUAUCACGCACACACUGUGCAGCAAUACUGAGCAGGUUUUGUGUAUGUGAUCCAUCCGUCUAUGCCUUAUGGUUCCUCAGAAUCCUGCGACAUUUCUGAUGUUAUAUUGAGAUCAAUGUAGCCACAAUAACAGCCACUCAUGCUGCAAUAACAUAUCACAGUUCCAGCAGUGAUUGCUGAGAAUAACCAGGUGAUGAAAGAUGAAAAAUAAAAAGAUAUUUCCUUCUUCCUUUAGCACAACAACUCUGAGAAAGGGCAGGAUCUGUCCCACUCCUCAAGCAUUUCAUGUCCUCUUAGGCUGCCUUCACUUUGGCAUCAAGAUAUCAGAGGUGCAGCAGCAUUCGCCAUUCUUCUUAAUGGGGUUGAGGUUUGUUUUUGGCUUCCCAGACCGCUGUGUAUUGCUAUCGUGUGGUCGUUACCAAAGCUUGUAUAACUAGAGAAGCAAGAAGUCAGGAUAUACGCCGAAAUAUCCCUUUAACUUAACUUUUAACUUUGGGUCUCUCAUUAAUUAAAUCCAGUCAGAUUACAUCAUUAAAGCUGGGUACAGCUUGGGUUAUUUAGCAAUGUUGGCCAAAAUAACUACGCAACCAAUCACUCAAAUUACGUGUGACAUGGCUAGUUUGGGAGUAGCCAGCCCAAACCUGUCUCCUAAUUUUAAACUGUAUUUAUUAUGGACAUACUCUCUGUAGCAUCAUCCACUAGUUUCUGAAGCCUGAAGGAAAUGCUGACUCCCUGCUAAUCUACACGGAGAGGUGAAGUUGAAGCUGCCAGCUGUCUGGGUGACUCCAGAGGCAAAGGGCAGUUCCUCGAUCCUCGCCAAAUGAACACCUACUCAUUAAUUCACCUAUAAGCCUUUUUUAAAAAUCUUUAUUAACAAUACAUUGUGCUAUAAAUAAAGCAAGACAACUCUGUUAUUUAUAUUUUAUUUUAAAGGGACCGUGUGCAAUAAUAAACAUAAAUGUUAGCAUUUUAUACACUGAACCAGAGUUAGCUUAAAGCUUAUUUACAUCUGCCUUAGCACAUUCGAUUACUUUCACUGAUAUUUCUCAGGUGUAAACAAAUACACCACUAACAUCCUCCUCAAACCAUCGACUCUGUGGGGCUCAUGAUCGAUUUUCAGGUAGCCAAUCAGUGCAGCGCCUUGUUUUACAGCAUCCCGGCCCACUCAGAUCGGUGCAUGGAUGAUGGGGUUAGAAACUGAGAGGCUGCAGAUCCCCCACAGAGGCUGAACGCCUGAUGAUUGAUUGAUGAUGAAAAACAACUUGGUCUAUGUUGUAAGAAGCUAAAAAUACACUCAUGUGAGAUCUUUAUGGUUGUAUUAGGAAUGUAACUGAGGAAUUAGGCAUGAAAUUAGACAGAAAUAUAAAAGAAAUACCUGCAAACAUGGCAACCAUUUGUGCCCGUUCAUAAAAAGGUACUUACAAACUAUGCCAGAACUAUUAUUUUUCUUUAUCUGAAACUGUUUUAGUUUUUAAAUAAUGUGGUAAAAAGUGUAACAGAGGCGUGAAGAUGUUUCUUUUCUCUCUUUGCUGCUCACUCCCUGUCCUCUCCCCUCUCUCCCUCCCUUCUCCUCUCCUCUCUCUCCUGCAGAGGGAGCCGUGGUUCUGCUCAUUUCCCUCUCACUUCUCCCCUCAGUCGCACACAUACACACAUACACACACACACACAUUCACACACAGAUUGUACAGUGGCUCUGUGAAAUAGGAUGCACUGCUAGGGCUGAAAUGAUGCAAAGCACCCUUGUUACAUAAAUGUGUGUUUUUGAAAAGGAAAAAAAGGAAAUUGCACAAUUUUGCAAAGUCACACAAUAUGUUACAAGUUUUGGGGUAGAAAGAAGACACUGAACACCAAAAAACAAAUAUUUAAUUUCCAUGUGAAAUGGAAAAUCCUGAUAUAUUUACAGAGUCUAUAUAAACAGAAUAAAAACACACAAAGGUGCAGCUGUUAGUGGGUAUUACAGCUUGUGGAUAUUUGUACAUUUGUUAACAAGCAUAAGUAAAUUAACUCUGUGCAGUUUAUAAUGAGUUGUUGAUAUAACAGAGUGAAAUGCUCUUAUAAAGGUCAGCGGUAUAAGAAUAGAUGCAGGAUGGAGUAUUAAGCUAUAAGUCUUAUUGACUCUGAAGACGGAGAAGAAUUAAUUUACAGGCAGCUUUUCAAACUGAACCAAUAACUUAUCAGUCAAAUACUAUUUUAACUGUAAUGAUAUAGGGUAGUAACUGACUGUGCAAAUGAUGAUGUAAAGUGAAUGGAUGAUUAUGCGAAUUUUGAACAUGGUGAGCAAAAUGUAACAUGAAGUGAAGGGAUCAUGCUAACCCUGACAGGGUUGUAAAGAGAAUAAUCAAUCAUUUCACAUCCAUUAUCCUGCUGGUUACAUGGCUGCUAACCAACUCACGGUAUAAUUCUGCCUUAGAGUUACCUCGGAGCUGGGAAUGACGUCACACCCGAGUUCCCAGCUUUUCAGUUACCAAGUCGGAAAAAAGCAAAAUCAGAGGUGGAAACAUGAUGGCUACAUCUACCAAAGUUAUUUUAGCGCUUGUUAUUUUAGUUUAGCAUCCCCUUUCACAGAUGUAGUCAUCUUAUUUCCACCUCCGAUUUUGCUUUUUUCCGACUUGUCGAUAAUCGGCCAAAACUCGUCAUCUACUUAUCUAGUAGAUGGCGCAGCGACCUUAUGACAAAUUUCAUCUACUAACUACCUCACAGCACAGCAGAGUGACGGAUCUGAAGCAGGCAGCUCAGUUGAAAACCUUUUUCCGAACAGAGUUUGAUUCAUAAUAAAUAUGUGGAAUAUUACUGAGAAGUGUUUGAAAGGCUUAAAAGCAGCCAUUUGUUUAAAAAAAGUAAAUAUGUAGAUAUAUUACUUACAUUAACAAAAUUGUAAAACUUCACAAAAAUUUUUUAAAAAACCAUCCGAUUAUCAGUAAUCGGAUUUUUUUUCCCCCCUAAUAACCGGUAUCGGCAUCGGCCCAAAAAAAGAUUAUUUGUGCCCAUGUAAACACAGCUAAUGUACGACUAAAGUAACAUACUGUACCUCUCUGCUGUGGACAUAUAUAAGUUAAAUAAAUGUGUCUAACAUAAAGCUGUAAAAUGUCCUCAUUUAUCGAUAGGGGGAUUAUUUUCUCCACAAACAGAAUGUGACGUCUUUUCAUUCAUUGCACCGUGUGGGCUCCACCACUUACUAUAAAAUGCCGCACAGCGAACGUGAUAGCCUGUCAUUGUCUUUAACAUUUUAAGUGAUCCCUUGCUAGGCAGCUCAUAUUGUAGCGAGCUUUGUUAAAGACUGCAGAGCAGCUGCGGUGUUGCUUUCCAGAGAAGAAAUGUUAGGGAAAUAGUAAUUAUGCUGCCUCUUAAGAAAGCCAACCAGGGGGUAAAUUGAACUGUAAGCAGUCCGUGAGACAGGAGCUUUGUGCUAUUUUGCUGCAUUCCUUUAUAUGGAAAUCAAUAGUGGCUGUAGCCCCCACAUUGUAGACAUGAAGGAUAGAUGAGGAUACAUGCAGGUGGGAAGAUUUAUUACUGCUUCAUAUAAUGGAUGAGCCAUGCACAGAAAGGAGAGAAUCCAGCAUUGUGAUAACUACUCAGAUAUUCCUCUCUGUGCACGUCACACAAUAGAUAUCUCAUCGUCUAUUCACUGGCUAACGCUGAUAUUUUAAUGGUGACUAAAAAAGCCUGAUGGAAUGGCUUUUACAGCACCACCAAUAUGAUCUGAUAUGACUGACAGCUCGAACCUCACCGCAGUAUAAGAUGGGAUCAUUUGGGACACGAGCACGACAUCCUCAUGCACCGAGGAGCGAACGAGGACUGUACAGGACCAAGAGACGAUGAUCAGUCUUGAGGGCUUUUUUAUAUUCUGGUUGUACAUCCUGCAAUCAUCAGCUCUCGUAUAGAUGUAUACUUAGUACUCAAAGCACAGAGAACAUAAGUCCUCAGAGGCUGAGGGCCAUGACUCAUUAAAGGAGUGAAGAGCAUCUUAAAGUACUUGUGAGGGACAUUAAAGACGGGCAUGCAAUUGUGCCUUAAGAGGUGCUUUUGUAUUUUCUAUACUUAGAAAAGGGUUAUAUACGCUGUAGUCACAUAUGCAGAGACAGAGCCGGCCCAAGCCUCAAUGGGGCCCUAAGCAAAAUUUGGUUUUGGGACCCUCCAUUUCUGCCAAUAAUAUUAAUUUUUGAUCAUUCCCACACCUCCACAAAUCUCUUUGAUUAUUACUCCAUGAUAUGCAAACAUAUCUUUAUCUUGGCGUUUUUUCUCUUCUUCUUCUUCUUCUUCUUCUUCUUCUUCUUCUUCUUCUUCUUUCUUCCUCUUUCUUUUCUCUGCUCCUUUUUUGCGACAUUGUUUUGCCUCACAAAUACCUGUUCUUUGGAUGCUCAGUGCACUUUGCACAGCAGGAGGCACAUAACGGUAGAGGAGCUUUGACAUAUCAGCAGUAAGAAUCGUAGGCCUACAUCAGCAGAAGCACUAAAAUGUUUUUAAUUUAUUUUAUUUCAUUUUUACAAUGAUAUACAUUUGAUCAUACAGAAAGCAUCACUCAUAUAUGCAAGAAAUAAAAAAUAUUAUUAGUUUUUUUUUUUUUUUUUGCUCUUGGGGGCCCCCUAUUGGCUGCAGGGCCCUAAGCAGAUGUUUAGUUCACUUAUGCCUUGGGACGGCUCUGUGCAGAGAAUUGAAUGUCCAGAUUUUACGUGUAAAAGUGAAUUUGUCUUGAACAGAACUUUCUGGAUAGUAUUAGAAAUUGUCAGCCUUCAAAAUCCUGGUAGAUGUGAUUUUUUCAGGCCAGUGUUUCACUAAAAAUAAGAAAAAUAAAUCACUUUUAUCCACACAAUGAAGAAAAAGAAUAAAUAUGAGUUGAUUAGAGUUUGUGUUUAAAAGUUUAUCAGGUUUGUAUUCCAUCUGUAGUGUUUACUUUGUGUUGCUGUGCAAAUAAAAAUGAAUUCACCCUUCAAACAUUCUAGUUAGCUAGUUAGCUUCUUGACUCAAAGUAUAACGUUACUUCACGAGACUGGAGGGCAGACUUGAUAAACUGUAUUCUGUCUAUUUUUAAUAUAAUAUGAACAUCAUGUCAUUUUUAUCUCAUAUUUCAAUGAUUUAAAUAUUGUAUCUGCUUUCACUUUAACUGCCCUGGGACAACAGGUGGAAAUGAGCAAUUGUUUCCAUAACCUGGCUCAAAGCAUCUCUUCUUGUCUUAAAGAUUAACGUUUUUUUUUUCUUCUUUUUUUGUGCAAUGUUCCUGUUCUAAAUGAAUAAAUUCAGUUUCAUUCAAUUCAAUUCAAUCUUUAUUGAUUUUUAGCUUUGAAAACUGCAGAACUGGGUUUUUAAUGGAACUGGAACUCAAUCUUUAUCCUCAGUCCAUGUCAUUAGGAUUAAAGAGGCGUGUGAUGUGCUGUAAAUAGACACAAUUACUCUUCAUUUAACAGGCUGUUUGCCAUACCUGUAGAGGAGUAGUUUCAUGGGUAAGCUCUCAGACAGGGAUCUCAUUUACAAUAAAAAUUUGAUUUACGUUUCAAAUAUAUUGUAUAAAAAAAAGAGGAGAUCCUAUAACAUGUUAUCAUCUGAUUAGCCACACAAUGUUUGAGCCUAAUGAAGUAUGACUCCCUCUAUGUUCUUACUUUCAUAUCAGGGGUUGUUUUCAGGUGUUAUAAUGGUGUCAGGGGUUAAUCUCACUCCAGCUGACCAAUGCCCUCAUGUAUAUGUUAUGAUAGUGAUACAUACGGCUAAUAGUGAGCCAGUACAGUCCUAGAGUUAAGAUUAACAACGCCCAGCUCACCAUAAAUAUUCACACUGAUAAGACAAUGUCAAUUUGUUGUUUCAAGCUAAUAAAAAUAUAUAUUUUCUUUUUUUUUUUUAGUUUUCUCAAGUGGAAACCAGCAGGAAGGAAAUCUCCAGCCAAGGCUUCACGUCACACUCAAACACACCUUCUCGCUAAUGCAUCUCCAUCUGUCCGUGUAAAAGCAAGGUGAGCAGCAACUGGAGCUCAAAGUGCUUUGUUGCGCCGAGGGACUCUGCCUACCCACCCUGCAGGACAUCAUAUUUCCCCGUAAGGGCCCCACCUGAGUGACUCUUUCAUUCUGUUUCCACGGCUUUUUUCACCGUGUCCUUUUGUUUCACCCUUGGGGAGGUUAAAAACAAAGUGCUCUGUAACCUGCUGAGUCCCUGUGGCACGACCCCACAAAUGGCAGCUUGCACCACCGCAUCCCCAUCCCUCACUGGAGUCAUGUGGUGCGGUUCCACGGUGGUGGUUUUAUGUGCAGUCACUGAUGGUCAUUAGUGCCAGUGUAAUGAUCACAAAGUGAACAUCUGAGUGCGGUGACCGAGUGUAUAGUUUCAAGUGUUAUUAGUGAAGUGUGUUUCUACAACCUUUAACCGAUGGCCCAAUUUCCUGCCGUUGAAGGUUAAUGUCAAGUCUUGUUUAUGAGAAUUAAACCUGCAGUUCUUAUCAUGACCAGCAGGGGGGAAAGCCGCCUUUUGCAAAAAAAUAGAAAUAAAAAAUGCAAAAGAAAGAGGAAGUUGUUCUGAGCCUUUCAAAAUAAAAGCAAAUAUACUGGGAGUACAUUUCCUUUUUUACCUAAAAAGUUGAUUCGAAC
RNAcentral lists this long non-coding RNA (45611 nucleotides) under Xyrichtys novacula (pearly razorfish). The record is from RNAcentral. Lineage: Eukaryota; Metazoa; Chordata; Actinopteri; Labriformes; Labridae.